RNAcentral lists this long non-coding RNA (60352 nucleotides) under Cucumis sativus (cucumber). Its description in RNAcentral is "long non-coding RNA (CSAT_LNC000976)". Lineage: Eukaryota; Viridiplantae; Streptophyta; Magnoliopsida; Cucurbitales; Cucurbitaceae. The record is from RNAcentral.
UGGCCACCAAGUCAGCCACAAUACGCUCCUAUUCUGAUCCUCCUCACACGUGCCACUUCUUCUAUGGCUCUUUCCCUCAUUAUUACCCUCAUGCCUCGACACUUGUCUUUGAUUAAAGGUAUCCAUAAAGUGGUUUCUUCAAAUUUCUUUAUUGUGAUGUCCAAUUGUAGUUGUUUUUAAAAGUACAAAGUCUUCAAUUGUAGCCUAUUUUAAUUAAAACAAGUCUCGACAUAUCAGAACAGAUGCUAUUACAUAGAUGAGAUAUUGAUGCACCUUCAUCCGGAUCUUUCAAAAAAAAAAGAAUUAGUUCAAAUCUGAUUGUUUCUAUGCAUAGAAAUAAAAUUAACUUUUGUUCAAAUUCUUUGUUUUUCCUUGUACUAAUCAAAAUAAUAAAUAAAUAAAACUAUUUUAAUACAAUAGAGGAAUUGGUAGAGGGGCAGUAGAAGAAGGGGAGGGAGGGUCCAAAGUGUGAGAAUUAAAGUUUGAAGUUAGUCAUGUUUUUGAUGAUGACUCGAGUGUUGCAGUAGUAGAAUUAAAAUGAAAAGUGAUUGAGUAGGAUUGUAGUAGUAAAAGUAAAAGGGAGAAUAAAUUUGUAUAUGUAGUUUUGUUAGAUGGAAAGAGAAGAGAAGGAAUAAUUAAGCACUCUAGAAAACUAACCAACUGUGUGAAGAAUGGAGUUGAUCACUUUUUUUUUUAUCAUUUUGAAAUACAAAUAACGGUGAAGAUUGAAGAAUGAAUUUUUUUGAAAUAUACGAGGAACAAAAAGCCGAUCCUCCUUUACAUUUUUCACAACUUGCCUAUUUAUUUUACAUAUAUAUAUAUAUAUAUCAUCAUCUCAAGAUGCCUUUUUUUUUAUUAUUAUUUUAUCUUUUAUUACUUUUUCUUUUUCUUUUUCUUUACAAUACAUUCUUUUUAAAGUAACAUAAAUGAUCAUGUUUGACUUAAAAUCUUAAUAAAAAGAAUUUGAACCCAUUACACAUUUGCUAUUGCCAAAAUCAUAAUUGUGUUUGAUUGGAAUGAUUCAAUACAUGAAACUCUGUUACCCACCAUUUAUAAUUUUAUUAUAUAUAUACAAGAACAAAUAGUUGUGUAAUGUGCGGUUGGGUUAAAUUCUAAAACUAUUGUCCAAUUUUUCUUUUUUUCUUUUAUGCAACUACUUUAGCACAGAAUUUCUACUUAAUACGUGGAACAAAGAAAGAGAUGUGUUUAACUUCUUUCUUAAAAUUCAAAAAUUGUUGAUAAAAGGGAUCCAACUUCCAUCUACUUUCAUUUUAAACUAUAACUAAGGAUAUAGUUUUUUAUUUGAACUACAAUAUUGCAAUAUUUCAUUUUUUUAUUGUUAUAGCUAGUCAUAGUAAUAAUUUGACAUUUUUUUAAAAAAAAAUUAAGCUUAUAAACAUCAAAUUAUGCCAAAUUUUAAAACUAUAAAAAGUUGAGAUUUCUUUUCCUAAUUGUAAAAAUUAAAUGGUUAUUAAAUGAACCUAAAUCAUUUAUAGCAAUAUAACAUAGUUUCAACAAUAAUAUACAUUAUUUUUUGCCUAGCAUCAAAUUAUUUAGAUAACUUUAUUGGAAAGUAUCUAGAUUUGUAAGCACAUAUCAAAAUCGUACGUAUCCCAUUGCACUUUUUACAAACAGACAAAUGGCAAAUGCAUGCAUGCUCAUGAUAUUUUCUAAAAGUGAAUUUUUUGAGUUAAAAGCAAACAUAUUUGAUGAAUCGUUUGGAAUUUCAUUUCAAAUCACCAAACUUCCAACAAUACAUGUGAAUAAUAAUAAUAAUAAUAAUAGAAGAGUGAUACAAGUACCAUUUUUAAGUUUAAAGUGUCAUUUGAUGAAAUCUAGAGUUAAUGGCUGACAAAAUUCUGCACAUUUGUUGGGCCCGCAUAAUGAUAUGAGACCUGUCGAUAUUAAGAUCCAAUCAAGGCCCAUCAUUUUAUUUACUCAUAUUAAUGCACUAGGCCCCCAUUUCAUGGAUCGCUGAAGUCCAAAAUGCAAGGCCCAUAGGCCCAUAUGCCCAUAUGCCCAUGGAUGAAGUCGAGAUUGAUAUAAAUAUCAUAAUAUAAGUUUUAUAAUUGAUUUCACUCUCACCCAUAUUUAUAAUCACUCUUAACAUAUGUUUUUUUUUCGUUGAAAAUUAUUUUAAUAUAUAAUUUUUAUACUUUUACAUGCAAUUUUUAUAUUAUCCAAAAAGUAUGCUUAAAAGUAAUUUUUUCAUUUAAGAUCACUUUCAAAAGUGCUCAAUCUUUCGAAGCAAAAUUUGAUAAUAUAAAAAUUGCCUUUAAAAAUAUAAAAUUGUAUAUUAAAUCAAUAAUUAAAGAUAUAUUUUAGUGUGAUAAUAAAUAUGACCCAAUUGAUUUCAACUAAAUCACUCUCAAACCUUUACUCUUAAAAUUAAUUUUCUAUUAUCAUUUUUGGUUCCAAAAGUUAAUUUAAAGUUAUCUGAUUAAUAAUUACAAUUUCUAUUUAAGAAAUAAUUAUUUAACUAAAUAAGGAUGGUAAAUAUCCGUUUCUAUUUAUUUUAUUAUUAAAUGGUUUGAUAUAUGUAUAGAGAUUUAAAAAAAACUCAAAGCACGUAUAAUUGUUUGUUUUAUUAAAAAUUUGUUGACACUCUCAUCUUUUGUUUCAACCAUUUUGUGAGUAAUUUUUGGUAGAUAACUAAACAAAAAUCAUUUAUCACAUGAUUUCUCCAAAAUCAAUUUGAAAUAUUUUCGUACUUUUUAAAAAUCAAUUUUAGUUCACGUAUAAUCAUGUGUGUUAUGGAAAUUUUGAAACACAUGCUAAGACGAAUUUUUAAAGAAAUUUCAGUCCCAACAUGAUUAAAAAUAAAUAAACUCCCUUUUUAGCAAUUGGGUUAUUUUAAAAUCACUUUGAAGAAAUUUGUUGUGAAACCAACGACUCCAAUUAAAGCUUCCAAAAAUACAUAUUAAAAUUGUAUGUAUAAAAGUGAUUUUAAUAAAGGCAAAAGUGAUGUUAUUUUAAAAUAACUUCCAAACAAUAUGUGGUUAACCGAAUUACAUUUCCAAACAAAUACCCUACUGCUAAUACUUAACAAACUACAAAUCCAACCCAUAAAAUAAAAUUCCUUCAUUCAUUGUUUUCCUAAAAUAACAUUCACUCAAGCAUGUAAAUAAAUACAAAGCUACUUAAAUACAACUAACAACUUACAUUUACAAACAUCCCUUUCAAACCUGGGUACUAGAGCGGGUAAUGUUUUAAUGGAGAUAGCCAAAGAAGGAAGUUCAACUACUAGACCUUCAAUAUUGGACGAUAAAAAUUAUUCAUAUUGGAGAACACGUAUGACAUCAUUCCUCAAGUCUCCAUAAGGCAGAAGAGCUGUUAAAGCUGAAUGGACACCACUAAUGGUUUGUAAAUGGAAAGUUUGUUCCAAAAUUUGAAGAAACCUGGAUGGAUGAAGAAGGCAAGAGUCAAUGGGAAACUCUCGGGCACUCAAUAGCAUACAUAAUGGGGUAGAUCUGAAUGUGUUCAAAUUAAUAAACACAUGUGUUACAGUAAAAGACGCCUGUAAGGCCCUUGAGGUGGCAUUCAAGGGUACUUCUAAAGUGAAAUCUCUCGUCUUCUAUUGUUAACUUCUAAGUUUGAAUCGUUAUGAGUGUUGGAAGAAGAAACUAUAUCUGAAUACAAUGCAAGGGUUCUGGAAAUUGCUAAUGAUUUGUUCAAUCUUGGUGAAUGAAUUCCAGAGUCUAGACUUGUUAGAAAAGUUUUGCGAUCUUUACCCACAAGAUUUGACAUGAAAGUAACAGCUAUUGAAGAAGCUUAAGACAUUACUACAUUGUCUCUUGAUGAAUUAAUCGGGUCUCUUCUUUACAUAUGAAAUCACUAUACUUAGUAGAGAAGAAGGUAUAGGAAAGGUAUAGCUUUCCAAUUUAUGCAUGAUGAUGAUUCUGUUGAAGAAGAAAAAUCAUCAAAUGAUCACGUAAAUGAGUCAAUUGCUAUGUUGACAAAACAGUUCUCGAAUGUCAUUAGAAAAUUUUAAAAACUUAAUAGCUAUGGGCAGGCUAGCCGUGAACAUAAUCAGUUUAGAAGAAGAGAUUCUGAUUGAUGAAAUAACAUAGACACAAAAUUCUUUAAAUGUAGAGAGUGUAGAGGUCAUGGACACUAUCAGGUUGAGUGUCAAACGUAUCUAAGAAGAAAAAAGAAAAGUUUUGGUACCACUUUAUCUGAUGAACACGAAGAAGAAUAUACAAAUGCAUUUAUCAAUUCGAUCUCCAAAGAUGAGUUUGUAUCUGAGAACGAAGAGCUCGAUGACCAACUGAAUGAGAAUAUAUCUUAUAAAAAAUUACAACAGAAGUGGAAAGAAGAUUCAUACGUUCGCACCAUUCGAAAAGAAAAGAUUCAUGAAUUGUUGGGAGAGAAUGAAAGAUUGUUGACUAUCAUAUCGACCUUAAAGCAAAAGUUGAAGGAAGCUUAAGCAGAACAUGAAUAGUUGUCGAAAUCUGUAAAAAUGUUAAAUUCUGAAACAGACUGUUUAGAUCAAAUCUUGUCCUUAGGAAAAAAUGAUAUCACUAAGCAAGGACUUGGUUACAAGAUUUGUUCCUACACAAGAGAAAGUUGAAGGAGGUAAGUCAUGUACUCCUGCAUGGCAGAAAGUCUCAAAUACGUCGAAGGGGUGGAUAUGCCAUUUUUGUGGAAAACGAUGACAUAUUAGACCUUUUUGCUACAAAAUGAUAAGUCAUAAUGUCUAUAAUCCGAAAAUGAUGGUAAAUCAAGAUUGAGUUAUCCAAGUCAAAUGAUAAAAAAAAAAGCAUGAAGAAAGUAUGGAGAGUAAAACAUACAUCUGAGCAGAGUAAUAUAGCAUUUACUUCGAUUCAAGUAUCAAGUGAAAACUGGUUCUUUGACAGUGGUUGUUCAAGACAUAUGACAGGUAAUCGGGCUUAUUUUUCCAACCUAAGUGAAUGUUCUUGAGGAUAUGUAACUUUUGGUGAUGGAGCAAAAGGUCGAAUUUUAGCAAAAGGAAACAUUAUUGGGAAGACAUCUUCCUCGUCUUGAUGAUAUAAGAUUUGUUGAAGGACUUACUGCUAAUCUUAUUACUAUAAGUCAAUUAUGUGAUUAAGGGUAUGUGGUAAAUUUUUGUAAGGAAAAUUGUAGUAUAACUGAUAGAGAUAAUGUUGAGAUCAUGAGAGGUGUACGACAACUUGAUAACUGCUACCAUUUGUUCAAACCGAACUGAGACCUACCAUCUAACAAAGAAAGAACAGACAUUACAGUGGUAUAAGAAACUUGGACAUGUGAGUCUAGGAAAAAUUAGCAAAGCCCUGAAACAUGAUGCUAUAUUGGGAUUGCCAAGUCUUAAUGUAAAUAUGCAAAUGUUCUGUAAAGAUUGUCAAUGAGGAAAGCAAAUUAGAAAAUCUCAUAAACUUGUCGGUGAAUGUUAUACAUCAAGAGUUCUUGAACUUCUUCACACGGAUCUUAUGGGCCCCAUGUAAACCGAAAGUCUAGGUAGAAAGAAGUAUAUCUUUGUGUGUGUCGAUGGUUACUCACGCUUCACCUGUGUAAGGUUCCUCAUAAACAAAUCAGAGACUCUUAAGAUAUGUAUUGUUUUAUGCAAAAAUCUACAAUGUGAGCAAGGGAUGAAUAUUUGGAGAAUUCGAAGUGAUCACGAAAAAAAGUUUGAGAAUAAAUAGUUUAACUCUUUAUGUGAAAUUGAAGGCAUUCGACAUGAAUACUCGGCUCCUCUCACCCCGCAACAGAAUGGGGUGGUAGAAAGAAAGAAUUGCACACUUCAAGAAAUGGCCAGAGUUAUACUUCAUGCCAAGAAUCUCUCAUUACAAUUCUGAGCUGAGGUUAUGCACAUAGCCUGUCAUAUUCACAACCGAGUGACAAUCAGGAUUGACACGUCUGCAACAUUGUAUGAAAUAUGGAAAGGUAAGAACUCUUAUGUUAAAUACUUCCAUAUUUUUUGGAGUGUGUGUUAUAUUCUUGCAGAUCGGGAAUAUCAUAGAAAAUUGGAUGUCAAGUUCGAUAAGAGACUCUUCUUAGGCUAUUCUCCAAAUAGUCGUGCAUUCAUAGUGUUUAACUAGAACUCAGUCUGUCAUAGGGUCUGUAAAUAUUGUGGUCAACAAUGAUGAAAAAGUGUCUCACAUAAUUCAAGAUGAUGAUGAUGAUGUGAUCACAUCAAGUGUAGAGAAAGUUGUUGAAAGGAUGUUGUUACGACAUCGGUUAAUCUUGACAGUACUGAGGGUAAUAGCUUUGAGUCUGACCUAAGUACUACUAAUGUCAAGCCUGAAAAUACUACACCUGCUAAACACUUUGUACCUUCCACUCAUGUGGUAAAGAAUCAUCAUACGACCGGUAUCUUCAUAGCGGCAUCACCACCAAAAAGAAAGAUCGCAUAGAUUAUGUCAAGCUAAUUGCAGAUCUUUGUUAUACAUCACCCAUAGAACUUGUUUCAGUUUCAGAGGCUCUUAAAGAUGAGUUCUGGAUUCCGGUCAUGUAAGAAGAACUUCUUCAGUUUCAAAGAAAUAAUGUCUGGUCUUUGGUGCCUAAACCUGAUAAUGUGAAUGUUAUUUGGCACUAAAUGGAUUUUUAAAAAUAAGACAGACGAACAAGGAUGUGUCACUCGAAACAAGGUUCGAUUGGUCGCUCAAGGUUAUGUUGAAGUUGAAAGGGUGGAUUUUGAUGAGACGUUUGCACCAGUAGCCAGAUUGGAAGCUAUUCGCUUGUCGCGACGUGAUCGCUACGCGGAGCGGCCGACCUCCCCGUUUAUUUAAUUUUAAUAAAUAGUUUUGGAGUCGCCACCAACCAUAUUAGGGUGCGAUUGGUCACCCAAAAAAAAGAAAAAAAAAUGGUUUGCGUGUACAUUCAGAGAUUUAAGUUCGGGAGUCAGUUGUGUGUAGGGAAGGUGUUAGCACCCUACAACACCCAAAAAAAUGGUUACCCAAUUUUAUCUUUUAAAUUAAAUUAUAGAGGUUUACAAAAUAAAGUUUUUAUUUAGGUUUUGUUUAAAUGUCUCAUGUUUAUUAAUUCAUAUCGAAGAAAGUAAAACCUAAGCAUGAAUUGAUGAUUAUGAGUGGCAUAGGAGCCAUUAGAAAAAUUAAGUUUAUUUUUGUUUUAAAAGAUUUUUAUUCACCUUAAGAAUAUUAAGAUACCAAAACUUGAUAUUUUAAUCUCUAUCAUAGGUGUUUAAUGAGAAAUUUCAUGUACCUAUAAUGAAAACACUACUCAGUCUCAUUUAAAAUAUGAAAUAUGUUUAUUUAAAAACAAUCUAUUAAUUAAAUUUCAUGUAUUCAUGGAAUUUAAAUUAUAAAAUCCAUAAAAAAACAGUACUUUUCUCCAAUUUACAUUUUUAUAUUUAAAUUGAAAAAUAAAUAAUAACAAUGAGCAAAACAUUAUGAAAUUUGAAAAAUACUUAAAGGGUAAUAUGUUGAGAUAAAAUAAAUGCAUAAAACAAAUACAUGAUAAUGUAAGCAAUAUGCAAAAUGUAAAAGAUGAUUAAUUAAUACAGCACAAGCAAGAUAAUUAAUUAAUUCAGAAUGAUACAAAAUAAUUAAUUAUUCAAAAGGAUACAAAAUAAUUAAUUCAUGCAUAAAGGUGAAAAAUAAUUAAUUAAUGCAGAAACAGAAAUAAGCAAAAUAAAUAAUUAAUUCAGAAAUAUGCAAAAUAAUUGAUUAAUUCAAAAAUAUGAAAAAUAAUUAAUUAAUUCAGAAAUAUGCAAAAUAAUUAAACGAGGAUGUCAAAUGGGUGUCAAAUGGGUGAAAUAAUAAUUAACUGUAGAAUGCCAAAGUAGGAUUUAUGCAAGAUGCCAAUAAAUAAUCACAUUAGCCAAUGAAUGUCAAAUAAUUUUAGCAAUAUGCAUGCUGAUUAAUUAAUUAAUACAUAAUACAAAUAAUUCGAAUGAGUAAUUGACAUAAGAGGCCAAAUGAGUGCCAAAAUAAUUAACGAUAUGCAAAUAAUUAGCUCACAAUGGAGGAUGCCAAAAAUUAAAAGUGUCAAAUACAUUGUGCUAAUUAAUUAACAAUGCAUAAUUAAGAGAGCUUGUCAAAUGAAUAGUUAUUUUCAAAUGCAUAAUUAACACAUAUGCCAAAUGGAUAAUUAUUAAAGCAAGAUACCAAAUGGAUACACACAACAAUUAACGCAUAAUGUAAAAUGGGUGCCUAGAUAAUUAAAAAGAUAGCAAAUAAUUAAAUCAGUAUGCCAAAUAGGUGUCAAAUAAGUGUUAAAUAAUUAAGACAUCAAUCAAAUAAUUAACGCAUCAUUUAAUUAAUUAACCAAAUGAAAUAAUUAACAUAGCACCCAAAUUGAUGCCAAAUAAUUAAUCCAGAACACACUGAUUAAUUAAGGCAGUAGCCAAAUAGAUGCAAAACAACUAAUUAAUGAGCGCAACAAUCAAAAUAGUCAAAUGAGUGUCAAAUUAAUUAGCAUGAGAAUUCAGUAAUCAAAAUAAUCAAAUAGCCAAAUAGAGCAGAAAUAAGAUGCAAAACACUAAUUAAUUAGGGCAUCAAUCAAAGAGUCAAAUGGGUGCCAAAUGAUUCAAAUGGGUGCCAAAUAAUUAAGCCAGUGUCAUCAAAUAUGAAUAACAAAAAAAGAACUUACAAGGUCUACGUUAAAUGCAAAAUGUUCUGAGUUGAUCCUCUUCACCUUUUUCCAAAAAAAUUCUUUUACGUGUCCCUCUUCUCUAUCAAAUAAUCCUCCUCGCAAAAGAAAUUCCCUCUAUUGAAUCUUCUCAUUCUCUUUUUAUAGGAAAAUGUCUCAUUUUUUAGAUAGAAGUGGAGUAGAUUUAGAUAGUGAAAUGGAGUACAGCAGAGAAAUGGGGAAAAUGUGGAAGAGUGGGAGAACGUGAGAGAUUGGGGAAGAAGGUGGAAGAGUGGGAGAACGUGAGAGAUUGAGAGAAAGUGUGAGGGUUGUGACUCACGAAAACAGGGGAUGGUUGAGAAAAAUAGGGAGAAGGAAAAACAAUCUUUACUUUUAAUUUUAAUUUUAAAUAUGUUUUUAUUUUUGUUUUUGUUUUAAAAUAUAAAUUUAAAAAUUAAGAUUUAAAUUUUAGAAUUUAAAUUUAAAUUCACAUUCAAAUUCUUUUUAAAAAAUAAUAAAUAAUUAAUGAAAAAAAUAAAAAGGCAGGACAAAAUACGGUAUCUACACGCUUAUUGCUCAGCAUCGCAUGUCUUCAGAAAAUUAAGUUGUUCCAGAUGGAUGUUAAAAGUGCAUUUUUAAAUGGGUACUUGUCUGAGGAAGUUUAUGUUUGACAACCUAAAUUAUUGAUCCAGUGUUUUCUCAACAUGUGUACAAACUUGAUAAGGCUCUUUAUGGUCUUAAACAGGCACCUAGAGCCUGGUAUUAACGUCUGUCUGUUUUCUUAUGUCAACAGGGAUAUGUGCGAGGAGGAACUGAUGAAACGUUGUUUAUUUAUCGAAGAGAUAAAGACAUUAUUGUGGCUUAGAUUUAUGUUGAUGAUAUAUUUUUUGGUGGAUUUCCUGAUGAUAACUUGAGUAGUUUUGUUCAUAUUAUGCAAUCCGAAUUCAAAAUGAGCAUGGUAGGGGAAUUAUCUUUUUUUCUUGAACUUCAAAUCAAGCAAGGUCAUGCUAGAAUUUUUAUCUCAUAGGAAACAUAUACUAAGAAUAUUGUGAAGAAGUUUGGUCUUGAGAUCUCUCAAUCCAAAAGAACUCUAGCAUCUACACAUAGUAAGUUAACUAAAAACUGUGAGGCCAUCUCGGUCAAUCACAGUGUUUAUCAGAGUAUGAUUGGAAGUCUCCUUUAUUUAACAGCGAGUCAACCUAAUACAGUUUAUGCUAUUAGAGUUUGUGCUUGCUAUCAGUUUGAUCCUCGUGCGUCUCAUCUUAUGGCAGCCAAGCGAAUUCUGAAAUAUGUUAGUGGGACGUCCAACUUUGGUAUCCAUUAUUUGUUUGAUACUACUUCCUCUCUUGUGGGAUAUUGUGAUGUGGAUUGGACUGGAUGUACAGAUGAUAGAAAGUCUACGUCAGGUGGUUGUUUCUUCUUAGGAAACAACUUAGUCUCAUGGUUCAACAAGAAACAACAUUCUGUUUCUUUGUCAACAACCGAGGUAUAAUAUAUUGCUACUGGUAGUGCGUGCUCCCAACUUGUUUGGAUGAAACAGAUGAUGGGUGAAUAUGAGUUCUCACAUGAUAUUAUGCUCUUUUACUGUGAUAAUAUGAGUGCUAUAGAGAUCUCUAAAUAUCCAGUUAUACACAACAGGACAAAGCAUAUUGAUAUUCUUCAUCACUUUAUUUGUGCUCUUGUUGAAGAUAAAACUAUUGCUAUUAUUCGUGAUCGGGUCUUCAAUUGGUUGAUAUCUUUACCAAACCCCUUGAUGUUUCUUCUUUUGAGCAUUUGUGAGCCGAGUUGGGUGUGUGUACCAUUUAAUUCCUGAAUAUAUUGGUCUUUGGAGGUCAAGCUUAGUUUACUCGGUCCAUGGUUGGUUUGGCUACUUUUAAACUAUUGUGGAUUAGCGCGCUUUUUGUUUGGCUCUUCAUACUCGACAUUUUCGAUCUCUUUGUACUCAAGAAUUUCUCAUCUUCUUGAGAUCCUCACGUUUCAAGAAUUGCUUUCAUUAUGUCUGUGUUGAUUUUUCCUUUUUUUUUUUUUUGCAAUGGUUCAUACUCGUCAAGCAUAUUAUCCCAUCCUAUUAGUUCGGAUAGUUAUGAAUUACUUAGCAAUGUGUGCCCUAAUACCUUUAAAAAAAUAUUUCAACAAAACGAAAUAAUAUAAUUGGAUUUGAAAUUUCCAAAAAAAAUUAUGAGGCCUAAAAUAUCACAUUUAAAAAAGAUAAUAAAGUUCUCCAAUCCCAACUACUACCACUUUUUGUGUCAUCCAUCAAACUUUUCACAUGUCAAAAUCACAACCAUACUUGGCAAUACACAGAUCUGUCUUCUCUGCUAAGAAGGUGAUGCCAUUUGCGAUGACAUUUCCCCCAUUAACACCACUUUUCCUUUCGCAAAGCAACCCAUGAAUUAAUUACCCCUUUUGUUAUUACCUUCCACUUCAUUUUUUGGCUUUCCAAAUCAAUGAUCUGUUAACAAAAUCUCUUCCCUCUCUCACAACCCAACACAACACUCCACUUUUUCUACAAUGGAUUCCUCUGUUCAUCUAUAAUUAUAUAAUUGCUUUCUCAGAGCCCUCGCAUCAAACAUAUUAAAAUCACUUUUUUUUUCCUUUUCAGAAAACGUUUAACUUUUUUCCAUGGAAAAUGAUCCUCAUCUGUGUACUGUGUCAUGAGCAGAAAUGAGAAGGCCUCAAGUAUUAAUGAGAUGUAUGGGUUUUCUCAAAAUCAUCCAAAGAUUUUUACGUCAUUUUCUCUCUUUGUUUUUCUCGGGAAAAUACAGCUAUCGUACCACUGUUCUUAAUUAUAUUGUUUAGUCGGUGAAGGAAAAAAAGUGAAACGAAUCUCAUCCUUUCUUCCUCUCUUUGUUUCCUCUUCUAGACCUUCUACUUUUCAAAAAUACAUAGAUAGAUGUUCAAAGUCUUCUCCAGGAUAUCACGUUAAGAAAUUUUGUACAGAGAUUUUCCAUUUUUGCAAUGUACACAUUUGUUGCUUUUUCAUCCAAUAAGUCUUGAUGUUCAUUUAUCUUUUGUUAUGUUCUAAAUUUUGUAUUUAAUUCCUAACAGUGGGUGUUGGGACUUUUAAUUUUGAUACAAUUCUAAACACUAAACUUCUCAAUUUUAUACUCUUUAAGAAAUAUGGAAUUUUGGUUGUAUUUUUAGGGAAAUGACAUGAAAAGUUGUUGGAAGUAAUAAGAAAGAGCACAUAGAGAAGUAAAUAAAUACCACACCAUAUUUGAUUUGUUAUCAAGUAAUAAACAUAGUAAAGUAGGAUGGACUAUUUAUAUACAAAUAAUUUUCAAAAGUUUGUUACACACAAACUCUCAUUGUUUGAAAUAGGUUAUUCUAUAUCAGUCCACCAACCAUGAAAGAUGGAAAGAGCAAUCAGGUGAAAUUUCUAUUAAAGAAAAGUUAUUUAAUUAAAAUAUCUUAGUAAUAAAGGAUCUAUACCAAUCCUGUUGAGAAAACAGAAAUUUGUUAGUAUCCAUUGAAGGGAGAGGAGAUAGAAAAGAAUGGAAUGAGAAAGAGAGGGGAGAGGGGAGAGGGGGCGGGCCCGUGAAGUCAGAAGAAGAGAGAGGGGUUUAACGUUUAAGUGUCAGUUUCGGGGCCCCGAAUCAUGACCCAAAAACCAAACAAACAUACCCUUUUUUGAGAACUAGAGAGGGGGACCCAUUUUUCCAAAUAUUUUCUAACCAAUAUACACAAUUAUCUCAUUUAAUUAUAUUACUUCACAACAACAGUUUCAAAUUCAACAAAUGCUUUGAUCUCCUUAAUUAGAUUUUAAUGAAAAUAUACUCUCACAAACAAAAUGCAUCAGAAAGAAAGUUAAUUCAUUAAAGCAAGGGUCUUGUUAGAAUUGAUUGGGGUUUAACUCCUCAAAUUUUUGAGUUGGAAUUGUUAUAAUAUUGGUAGAGAAGUAGUGAAAUGAAAAUUAAAUGAAAUAUAAUUUUGAACCAACCUCCAUUUGGUAGGUGGAGUUGGGAGUUAAUUAAAUGAGAAUUCAUCGCUCAUUUCUAAAUAAAAUAGAAAAUAAAUGAAGUAGGCUAAUAAAUAAGGACAAAAGCUACAUAGACUCUCAAUGCCUAACCAUACAAACAUCUCUCUCAAUCACCUAAAAACUUCAAAAUUAUUUGUACCCAUUUUAUGACAAUUAAAUGUCUUUUUUUCCUUCUUUCUCCCAAUUUCUUAAUUAAUUAAAACAUUUUUAUUUCUUUUUAUCUUUGUACCAACCAUCAUUUAUAACUCUCUUUUCCCUACUAUAUUUUUAUUAGCCUACUGGUUUCAUUUCAAUGUAUCUAUUUUUAGUAGAAAAGUAGUCUCUCAUCGCAAUAUAUUUACAAGUAUUAUGAAAAUACUCAAAACUACAUUUCGAAUACAAUUUUUUUAUAAAGAAGUUUAGAUCAACGUAUGGGUUGGAUUAAGAUUUAAUAUUCUAACAUUGUGCUCCAAGGGCAAUAUUACAACUUUUUUAAAAGAAGAAGAGUGUUUUUAAAACAAACGACAAAAUUAAGAGAGAACGUUCAUAAUUUAACCAAAAGAAAAAUAAAUCUUCAAGAAGAAAAUGGUAUGAUUUAGACGUUAAUAUACAAUUAGAAGAAGGCAUAGUUCAUUUAUAAGAAAUGUGAAGAUGGUAAACGAGAGAAUAAGGUCAGGAAAAAAGAUUGCAUAUUCCAAAUCAAACAUACAUGUUUGCUUGUUUAAGUUGAGUUGAGUAAAUGUAUGAGACAAUUCAAAAGGGGCCCCAAAUUGCUUUUGGAAGUGUCACCCUCUAGGCCACUAAUUAUUGAAGUUGAUUCAAAAUAGGUUUUCCACCUAAGUACAAAAGGGAAGAAUGGGUGAAUAAUGAAAAGGUAGAUUCAAGUAUUGAAAUGACAAAAGCUAAACUUGGUAGCCCAUGCAUAAAUGUCCUAACAAGUUUGGUUUAGAAAAAUAUGGAAGGAAAAGGGUUGUGAAAAAGUCAAGCAUAUAUUAUCUUAUUUGAGUGAAGAAGAAAAAAAUUAAUUGAAAAAAAAAAAGAAACACCAAUUGUCUUUAUUUUCAUAUUUGAGAUUUUGUUUUGUUGUUUAGUGCCAAAAGAAAAGAAAAAAGGACAAUGAAAACAGUAAAUGUAAGCCUAUUAUUGCAUAUUUUCUUUGAUGAAACCCCAAUCCAUGCAUCAUAGAUGUUAAUGUGCAUACAAUUGAGCCCUCUUUUUGGUAUACCCCACUCCAUCAAAAAGGGAACACAAACCAAUUAAUUUUAAUCUAACCUUUUUCUUUUAACUAAAGGAAAAGGCAUUUAAUUAAUUAAGGAUAUAUGUUUACUAUUAAUAAUUAAUAAAAAUAUUAACACGUAAUUCUUCUAAAAUAAAUUACAAUAUUUACAAUUUUGUUUGAAAUAUUUGUUAUAAAGUUGAUUAUUAUUCAUAAAAUUGCUUACAUAUUUGGAUUUAUAAAUUAAAAAAUAAAAAAAAAAUCAAGAAAGAAUAAGUGACGCAAUGAAAAAAAGAAAGGGUAAUAAAAGGGGAGGAGAGGACUAAGAAACCUAAAACCCACAAACACAAGUUUUAUAGGUGAAAAAAUAAUUGUCACUCUCAGUUCUCUUUUGACCAAUAUGGAUUCCUUUUCACAAUAAUUUGCCAAAAAAGAUUAGAAUAAAUGCAACAUAGGGAAAAAGUAUAGACCCAUAUAGGAAUAAGGUAUUAAGCUUUGAAAUCACAACCAACAAUGGUGGGAAGAUUUCCAAAACCCACAAACCCAAAAAGAAAACACAAAAACAAAAAAAGUUUUCAUUUUUAUUCCCUAUUCCACAAUACAAAAAACACACUAACACUUCAAUUUUAUUCAUAACUAUGAGUAAAGAAUAAAGAAAAAAGGAAACUAGGAAGUGACAAAAAGAAGACUUUGUUUUUCUUUCUUCAAAAGCUUCAAAUUUUAACACUUAAUUACACUCUUUUUUUUUUUUUUUUUUUUAAAUAUAUUUAGGACUCGGAGGACUUUAUAAUAAAUACCCAAAAGUAAUAUGAAGAAAUUUGAAGGGUCUCAAGGUGAAGAAAAACAGAAUUGCCGUUAUCAUACCAUCCUUCAAGUCACGUGAGCUGCGCCUCCUUUCUGACAAACCUUCUUUUGCCAUAGUCCUUCCAUUGCAUUAUAGCUAUGCCGAAUGGCGCCUAACCUCCUCCUCCUCCUCUUCUUCUUCUUCUUCUUCUUCUUUUCUUCUUCUUCUUCUCUUUGUUUAGUUUCUCUCUCUGCAACACCCAUGGAGGUUAAGCUUUCCCAUCUUCAUUCUUUUGCAGUUGGGUUUUAGAAUAUUGAGAUAUAUAUUAUGGUUUUUCUUAUGGGUAUGGAGUUGAAACGCUUCUUUUUUAUUUUCAUCAUCUGCUUCGACCUCUGCAUUUUGAGUUCCAAUGGCGCUACACUCCAGAAUGAGAUUAUUAUCGAGAGAGAAAGCUUGGUUUCUUUCAAAGCUUCGUUGGAGACCUCUGAAAUUCUGCCAUGGAACUCAUCGGUUCCUCACUGCUUUUGGGUCGGAGUUUCUUGUCGACUCGGUCGAGUUACAGAGCUCUCUCUUUCGUCUCUUUCACUCAAAGGCCAACUAUCUCGGUCCCUUUUCGAUCUUUUGAGCCUCUCUGUUCUUGACCUUUCAAACAACUUACUCUAUGGCUCAAUACCACCUCAGAUAUAUAAUCUUCGGAGCCUGAAGGUUCUCGCUCUCGGUGAAAAUCAGUUUUCCGGCGACUUCCCUAUCGAGCUCACUGAGUUGACUCAACUGGAGAAUCUCAAGUUGGGGGCUAAUUUAUUCUCAGGUAAAAUCCCGCCGGAGCUUGGAAAUUUGAAGCAGUUACGGACCCUUGACCUCUCCAGCAAUGCCUUCGUCGGAAAUGUUCCGCCCCACAUCGGAAACUUGACGAAGAUUUUAUCCUUGGACCUCGGCAACAAUCUUUUAUCAGGUUCACUCCCAUUGACCAUCUUUACUGAGCUUACAUCUUUAACUUCUCUAGACAUUUCAAACAACUCCUUUUCGGGUUCAAUCCCACCUGAAAUUGGUAAUCUAAAGCAUUUGGCUGGCCUUUAUAUCGGCAUUAACCAUUUUUCCGGUGAGUUGCCUCCUGAAGUUGGUAACCUUGUAUUGCUGGAGAACUUUUUUUCGCCGUCUUGUUCUCUAACUGGUCCAUUGCCUGAUGAACUAUCCAAGCUGAAAUCAUUGAGCAAACUGGAUCUUUCAUACAACCCACUUGGGUGUUCAAUCCCGAAAACGAUUGGUGAAUUGCAGAACUUGACUAUAUUGAAUUUGGUUUACACUGAGCUUAAUGGUUCUAUACCUGCUGAGCUUGGGAGGUGUAGAAAUUUGAAAACAUUGAUGCUUUCGUUCAACUAUCUAUCUGGGGUGUUGCCACCAGAGCUUUCCGAGCUUUCCAUGUUGACAUUUUCCGCUGAGAGGAAUCAGCUUUCUGGGCCAUUACCUUCUUGGUUUGGCAAAUGGGAUCAUGUCGAUUCUAUUUUACUUUCGAGUAAUCGAUUUACUGGCGGAAUCCCACCUGAGAUUGGAAAUUGUUCGAAGCUUAAUCACCUUAGUUUGAGCAAUAACUUGUUGACAGGUCCAAUACCUAAAGAAAUAUGUAAUGCUGCAUCCUUGAUGGAGAUUGAUCUUGACAGUAAUUUCCUUUCGGGUACUAUUGAUGACACAUUUGUGACGUGUAAAAACCUUACACAGUUGGUUUUGGUAGACAAUCAGAUCGUUGGUGCAAUACCGGAGUACUUCUCAGACCUUCCCCUACUGGUUAUCAACCUUGACGCCAACAAUUUUACAGGUUAUUUACCAACAAGUAUAUGGAACUCAGUGGAUUUGAUGGAAUUUUCCGCUGCAAAUAACCAGUUAGAGGGUCAUCUCCCUCCAGAAAUUGGUUAUGCAGCUUCCCUUGAGAGGCUUGUCCUCAGCAACAACAGGUUGACAGGCAUAAUACCAGAUGAAAUUGGAAAUCUCACAGCCCUUUCUGUUCUAAAUUUGAAUUCAAAUCUGCUCGAAGGAACUAUUCCUGCCAUGCUUGGAGAUUGCAGUGCACUUACCACAUUAGACCUUGGAAACAACAGUUUAAACGGAUCGAUUCCAGAAAAACUUGCAGACCUUUCUGAAUUACAGUGCUUAGUUCUUUCGCACAACAAUUUAUCUGGAGCAAUACCAUCCAAGCCAUCAGCUUAUUUUCGACAGUUGACCAUUCCUGAUUUGAGCUUUGUUCAGCAUCAUGGAGUUUUCGAUCUGUCUCAUAAUAGAUUGUCUGGUACCAUACCUGAUGAACUGGGGAACUGUGUUGUGGUGGUGGAUCUUUUACUCAACAAUAAUCUACUUUCUGGAGCAAUACCUAGUUCUCUCUCUCAGUUAACAAACCUCACAACCUUGGACUUAUCUAGCAAUACGCUUACUGGUCCUAUUCCUGCAGAGAUUGGCAAGGCACUCAAGCUUCAAGGCUUGUAUCUUGGGAAUAAUCGCCUUAUGGGAAUGAUCCCAGAAAGCUUCAGUCAUUUGAAUAGCUUGGUAAAGUUGAACUUAACUGGUAAUAGGUUGUCUGGUUCGGUUCCAAAAACGUUUGGUGGUCUGAAAGCUCUAACUCAUUUGGAUUUAAGUUGUAAUGAGUUGGAUGGUGAUCUUCCUUCUUCUCUGUCCAGCAUGUUGAAUCUUGUCGGGCUUUAUGUACAGGAGAACAGGCUUUCUGGUCAGGUUGUUGAACUUUUCCCAAGUUCCAUGUCAUGGAAGAUUGAAACUUUGAAUUUGAGUGAUAAUUAUUUAGAGGGUGUACUUCCACGAACAUUGGGCAACCUAUCAUACUUGACGACUUUGGAUCUUCAUGGAAAUAAGUUCGCAGGGACAAUCCCUUCAGAUCUUGGGGAUCUUAUGCAACUUGAAUACUUAGAUGUCUCGAACAACAGCCUUUCAGGGGAGAUUCCAGAGAAAAUAUGCAGCCUCGUCAAUAUGUUUUACCUGAAUUUGGCUGAAAAUAGUCUUGAAGGUCCAAUUCCGAGAAGUGGGAUUUGCCAGAAUCUAUCCAAAAGUUCACUUGUCGGUAACAAGGAUCUUUGUGGGAGAAUCCUGGGUUUCAAUUGCCGGAUCAAAAGCUUAGAGAGAUCUGCAGUCUUAAAUUCUUGGAGUGUUGCUGGGAUUAUCAUUGUUAGCGUUCUUAUCGUUCUAACUGUGGCAUUCGCAAUGCGAAGACGGAUCAUUGGAAUCCAGAGAGAUAGUGAUCCAGAGGAAAUGGAGGAAAGCAAAUUAAACAGUUUCAUAGACCCCAAUCUCUAUUUCUUAAGUAGCAGCAGAUCAAAAGAGCCUUUAAGCAUCAAUGUGGCUAUGUUCGAGCAGCCCCUUCUGAAGUUAACUUUGGUUGAUAUCCUGGAAGCGACCAAUAACUUCUGUAAAACUAACAUUAUUGGAGAUGGAGGAUUCGGGACCGUCUACAAGGCAACUUUGCCUGAUGGAAAAGUUGUUGCUGUGAAGAAGCUAAGCGAAGCAAAAACACAAGGGCAUAGAGAAUUUAUUGCUGAAAUGGAAACUAUAGGAAAAGUGAAGCAUCAUAAUCUUGUUCCACUGCUUGGCUACUGUUCUCUUGGGGAGGAGAAGCUCCUUGUGUAUGAGUAUAUGGUGAAUGGUAGCUUAGAUCUUUGGCUGAGAAACCGAACCGGUACUCUCGAAAUCCUCAAUUGGGAGACUCGCUUCAAAGUUGCUUCAGGUGCAGCCCGUGGACUGGCAUUUCUUCACCAUGGAUUCAUUCCCCACAUCAUUCAUAGAGAUGUUAAAGCAAGCAAUAUACUCCUCAACCAAGACUUUGAACCAAAAGUUGCUGACUUUGGAUUAGCAAGAUUGAUCAGUGCUUGUGAAACUCAUGUCACAACUGAGAUUGCUGGAACGUUUGGUUACAUCCCACCGGAGUACGGGCAGAGUGGGAGGUCGACAACAAAAGGUGAUGUGUAUAGCUUUGGUGUGAUUCUACUGGAAUUGGUAACUGGGAAGGAACCAACUGGACCUGACUUUAAAGAGAUUGAGGGUGGAAAUCUAGUUGGUUGGGUGUUUCAGAAGAUCAACAAGGGCCAAGCUGCAGAUGUUCUUGAUGCCACAGUUCUGAAUGCUGACUCAAAGCAUAUGAUGCUUCAAACCCUUCAGAUUGCCUGUGUUUGCUUGUCAGAAAAUCCUGCUAAUAGACCUUCCAUGCUUCAGGUAUUGAAGUUUCUUAAAGGGAUCAAAGAUGAGUAAAUUUUAAUGUUCCAUAGAAUUGGAACUUGGAAGGAUAACGAAAAAAUUGUACUUUGAGUUGAGAAUAACACUGUAAAGAAGUAUUUAGCACUAUAUGAUCAAAAUCCUUCGGUUGUAAUCCAUUUUAUCAACUAAUCUAAUCUAAACUAAUCUAAUCAACUUUGUCACUACUUCUUCAUCAGGCGAGAAAUACAAAUUUUUGACUGACGUGUCUAUUAUUAUUUUUUUGAGUACAACGAAAGAGGAAGAAACUUAAAUCAAUUUUUGGAAUCUGAUCAUGAUAGAUGAUAUUAAUGUAAAUUCUGUAAAUGCAAUUUAUGCAUAAUUUUCCUAAUAUUAUUGUAUAAAUACACUACUUUGAUCAAUAAACAAAGUGAGGGAAUAUUCUUCAGCAUAUCCUUCAACAUGGUAUCAGAGCUAGGGUUUUCAGACUCCAUCUCAAUCGCCGCCGCCAACCACCCGUGAAAGUCUCCAUCCCGCAUCCUCAUCGCGCCUCGUAGACGUCUCGAACCGUUUCCGUCAUCCUCAUCGCGCCUCGCAGCCGUUCCGUCAUCGUCAUCCUCAUCGCGCCUCGCGCCUCGCAGACAGCUCCGAUCUGUCUCUAGCCAUUCCACCACAGCAUCGACGUGGCGCGCCUCGCAGACAGCUCCGAUCUGUCUCUAGCCAUUCCACCACAGCAUCGGCGUCGCGCCGAUUAGUCGCAGCCUCGGCAUCGAAGGUGUCCAUUUCCGCUCCGAUCCGUCUCCAUCCGCGAAGCACCAGUCUUCCUCUGUCGUUCCAAGCCGCACGCGACUACGCCGCUCCGAUCUGUCUCCAAUCUACGCCGCUCCGAUCCGUCUCCAUCCGCGAAGCACCAGUCUUCCUCUGUCGUUCCAAGCCGCACGCGACUUCUCUUCCAGCCGUGAGUGCAAGACGACGUCUACCGUCCGACGCCGCCCACCAGAUCUGACGAAUCCUUCAGCCGUUUGUCUUCAGAUCUGACGAAUCUUUCAGCCGUUUGUCUUCAAGUUUUUUUUGUCUCCGUUCCCAGCCGUGCACCCCUGAAUCCAGUCGCCGCAACCCAGCCGUGCACCCCUGAAUCCAGUCGCCGCAACCCAGCCGUGAAACCCUGAAUCAGUCGCCGCGACCCAGCUGUGAAGACGCUCACCUGUCACGAAUCCCAGUCUUGCAAAGCAAAUCUCAGCCGCCAAAUACAGUGAAACCCAGAUCUGACGAAUCCAGUCACGAAUCAGUCAAAACUCGGCGAAAAUCCGCAUUGUUAACCCAAAUCAAAAUGGAGAGAGACCAUAUCUUUAGACCCAUUUCUACAAUACUUGAUGGUACAAAUUAUAUCACAUGGGCAAAUCAAAUGAAAAGUUUUCUUAUUGGAAGAAAACUAUGGCGCAUUGUAACUGGCGACAUCACCAAACCAACUGCAAAGGAAGGGGAUAACACAUUCAUUGAACGUCUCGAAGAUUGGGACAGUAAAAAUCAUCAAAUUAUCACCUGGCUUGGUAACACCUCUAUUCCCGCUAUACAUGCACAGUUUGAUGCCUUUGAUGAUGCUAAAAUAUUAUGGGAUUUUUUGUCUACACGCUUCAAGUCUAUUGGUUUAGCCCAUUAUUACCAACUGCACAGUACACUUGUAAAUCUAAAUCAAGAUUUGGUCAGUCUGUUAAUGAAUAUUUGGCAGUUCUUCAACCCAUUUGGACUCAACUUGACCAAGCGAACAUCAGCAAAGAUCAUCUUCGCCUUAUUAAAGUCCUUAUGGGAUUACGUCCAGAAUAUGAAUCUGUUAGAGCUGCUUUACUACACCGGAAUCCCUUACCCUCAUUAGAUGCAGCUAUUCAAGAAAUUCUGUUUGAAGAAAAGCGUCUUGGCAUCAACUCUACUAAACAAUCUGAUGUUGUCCUUGCUAGCACAUACACUCCCAACAGAGCCGCAAAUAUGUUUUGUAAGAAUUGUAAGCUCUCUGGUCACAAAUUUAGUAACUGUCCUAAAAUAGAGUGCAGGUACUGCCAUAAACAUGGCCACAUUCUGGAUAACUGCCCUACCAGACCACCCCGACCUCCUAGCACUUCCACAAAAGAGAAAAUUUUUACCAAACAUGGUUCCUCAUCUGUUGUUGCUGCGACCUCGGAUGAUUCAUCCCUCAUUCAGAUAAGUGAUCUUCAGAGCUUAUUGAAUCAACUAAUUUCAUCAUCCUCCGCUCUGCUGUUUCAUCAGGUAAUCGAUGGCUUCUUGAUUCUGCCUGUUGUAAUCAUAUGACCUCUGACUCUUCUCUUAUGUCUACUUCUAGCCCUACAAAAUCUUUACCUCCUAUUUAUGCUGCUGAUGGUAAUUGUAUGAACAUCUCUCAUACUGGUACCAUUGAUACUCCCAGUUACAUCUUCCCCAUACUUACUGUGUUCCUAACCUGACCUUUAAUCUAGUGUCUGUUGGUCAAUUAUGUGAUCUGGCUUAAAUGUUUCAUUUUCUCCCAAUGGUUGUCAGGUUCAGGAUCCGCAGACGGGACGACGAUUGGAACGGGUCGCAAAGUGGGAAGAUUGUUUGAGCUCACAUCACUUCGGUUUCAUCUCCUUCUUCCAUCUCUGCUUCGGUCACUGAUUCUGACACAUAUCAGUGGCAUCUUCGUCUUGGUCAUGCUUCCUCUGAAAAACUUCGUCAUUUAAUUUCUGUUAACAAUUUGACUAAUCUUACUAAAUUUGUUCCUUUUAAUUGUUUGAAUUGCAAACUUGCUAAACAACCUGCCUUAUCUUUUUCUCAAUCCAUCUCUAAUUGUGAUAAACCUUUUGAUUUAGUGCAUUCUGAUAUUUGGGGUCCUGCCCCAAUUACUACUGUUCAUGGUUAUCGCUACUAUGUUUUAUUCAUUGAUGACUACUCUCGAUUUACAUGGAUUUACUUUCUAAAACAUCGUUCUGAAUUAUCUCGCACAUAUAUUGAGUUUGCUAACAUGAUUCGCACUCAAUUUUCCUCUCCCAUCAAAAUUCUUCGCACUGAUAAUGCUUUGGAAUAUAAAGAUUCCAUCCUUCUUUCUUUUCUUUCCCAACAGGGCACUAUUGUUCAGCGCUCUUGCCCUCAUACCUCUCAACAAAAUGGACGUGCUGAGCGCAAACAUCGUCACAUUCUUGACUCAGUACGUGCCCUCCUUCUUUCUGCCUCUUGUCCAGAAAAAUUCUGGGGUGAAGCUGCCCUUACAUCAGUAUAUACAAUCAAUCGUCUCCCUUCCUCUGUCCUUCAAAAACCUCUCCGUUCGAAAAACUAUAUGGUAUUUCUCCCGACUAUUCUAAACUCAAAGUUUUUGGUAGUGCCUGCUUCGUUCUGUUACAUCCUCAUGAACACAAUAAACUUGAACCACGUGCCCGUCUCUGUUGCUUCCUUGGCUAUGGCACCGAACACAAAGGAUUUCGUUGUUGGGACCCUCUUUCCAACCGACUCCGGAUAUCUCGGCAUGUCACUUUUUGGGAACACACUAUGUUCUCUCGUUUGUCCUCCUUCCACACCUCUUCUCUAGUCCUCAAUCUUUCUUUACAAACAUCUGUUGACCUUUUUCCUCUCUCUGAACCCACCUUGGAUACUGAGCUUGCACAAUCUUCACCUGCUACUGCAAAUCUGGAUCCACCGUCUGUCUCCGAUGAUGUUCCUGAAUCGCCACCUGCUACUCCUCUUCGUCGCUCUACCCGGGUAAGAGAACCUCCCCUCAUCUCACUGAUUACCAUUGUUUUUCUACCAUUGUUUCCCUUGUUGAACCCACCUCUUAUCAAGAGGCCAGUACUAACCCAGUAUGGCAGAAAGCAAUGGAUGAAGAAUUACAGGCUCUUGAAAAGACGCACACUUGGGACUAUGUUGAUUUACCUCCCGGUAAAAGACCCAUUGGUUGCAAAUGGAUUUACAAAAUCAAAACUCACUCUGAUGGAACAUUGAACGUUAUAAAGCUCGGCUUGUUGCAAAAGGAUACUCACAAGAAUAUGGGAUUGACUAUGAAGAAACAUUUGCCCCUGUUGCCCGGAUGACAUCUGUUCGCAGCUUGUUAGCUGUUGCUGCUGCCAAACAGUGGCCUCUUCUUCAGAUGGAUGUCAAAAAUGCAUUUCUUAACGGCAACCUAUCUGAAGAAGUGUAUAUGAAGCCACCUCAGGGAACUUCUCCUCCUCCCAACAAGGUGUGUCUCCUUCGUCGCGCUCUAUACGGUCUAAAACAGGCUCCACGAGCUUGGUUUGCCACGUUUAGCUCCACCAUUACUCAACUUGGAUUUACCUCCAGCUCUCACGACAAUGCCCUUUUUACACGACAGACAACUCAUGGUAUUGUUCUUCUCCUUCUUUAUGUUGAUGAUAUGAUUAUUACUGGUAAUGAUCAACAGGCCAUAUCCGACCUACAACAAUAUCUUGGUCAACAUUUUGAGAUGAAAGACCUUGGAUCUCUCAAUUACUUUCUCGGUCUUGAAGUCUCUCACCGUUCAGAUGGUUAUCUGUUAUCUCAAGCGAAAUAUGCAUCUGAUCUAAUAGCACGCUCAGGAAUUACAGACUCCACCACAUCUUCAACACCGUUAGAUCCUCAUGUCCAUCUAACUCCGUUUGAUGGUGUUCCUCUUGACGAUGCAAGCUUGUAUCGGCAACUUGUUGGCAGUCUUAUAUACCUAACAGUAACUCGCCCAGAUAUUGCAUAUGCUGUUCAUAUUGUCAGUCAAUUUAUGGCUGCUCCUCGAACAAUUCAUUUCACUGCUGUUCUACGCAUACUUCGCUAUGUCAAAGGCACCUUGGGACAUGGUCUUCAAUUCUCAUCUCAGUCUUCCCUUGUGUUGUCGGGAUAUUCUGAUGCUGAUUGGGCGGGGGAUCCUACUGAUCGACGAUCCACUACAGGAUACUGUUUUUACUUAGGUGAUUCUCUCAUCUCAUGGCGUAGUAAGAAACAAAGUGUUAUAUCUCGUUCCAGUACGGAAUCUGAAUAUCGUGCUCUGGCUGAUGCUACAGCUGAACUUAUAUGGCUUCGGUGGCUCCUUGCCGAUAUGGGUGUCCCUCAACAGGGUCCUACCCUCCUCCAUUGUGACAAUCGUAGUGCCAUUCAGAUUGCUCACAAUGAUGUGUUUCAUGAACGUACAAAACACAUUGAAAAUGACUGUCACUUUGCUCGUCACCACCUCCUAAGCAACACCCUCCUCUUACAUUCUGUUUCUACUAUUGAACAACCUGCGGAUAUCUUCACCAAAGCCUUGCCAUCUAAUCAAUUCUGUCACUUACUUACCAAACUCAAGUUGAUCGCUACUCUACCACCUUGAGUUUGAGGGAGGGUAUUAAUGUAAAUUCUAUAAAUGCAAUUUAUGCAUAAUUUUCCUAAUACUCUUGUAUAAAUACACUACUUUGAUCAAUAAACAAAGUGAGGGAAUAUUCUUCAGCAUAUCCUUCAACAGAUGAUAAGAGUUGAAUUAUACACAAAUUUGCUACUUGUGGAGUUUUUGCAUGAUAAGAAUUAAAAUUUUAAUGAAAAUCCAAAAAUCAAGGAAAAUAAUAAAAUUAUUAUUUCUGAGUCAUUCACAAUACACUAUGACCAUUUAAUUUAUUCAAAGCCACCAAUAAAAUUGUCAUUUUUCUAAUAAGAUUGAACGUUUAGUUAGGUACACUGAUUUUGUUGAACUUAUAUAUAGUAUGAAUGAAUUGAAAACUUAGGUUUGAUUGAUUGGUUUUCGACUUUUGAGUAGAAAAGAGAAAUUUGAAUCCAUAUAAAUUGUGGAAAAAGCAUACACAACUAUCCGCAGAUUCCUUUUCUGACCUUGUAUGAGUUGAUAUACUUAAAACAUAACUGAACUGAAUAUAUGAUGAAGGAAGUAGGUGUGUAAAGUAAAGAUAAAAUGCGAAUAAAUUUGUUAAAUGCUUUGGUUUGGUGAUUUGAUAUUUUUGCAGUUUCAUCUACAAAUUUGUUUUGUUUAUAAAAAGAAAAAGAAAAGAAAAGAAAAGAAAAGAAAAAGAAAAAGAAGUAAAAAGAGGAAUAUUCAUUGAAAGUUCCUAAAUUUGCCCCCUAAAAUGGUGGCACACGUCACACGUGCCAUAUUCCCACCUUUUGGGGAGAUGAUUCUCUGCAUCGCUCAUCACUUGAACUAAGAAUCUGAAGAAAAAGCCCAUACUCUAUCCUAACCGUUAAAUACAGAUCCGUUUCAUAAUUCUCUCAGUGGACCUGAUCCUGCCACGUCUUCUCCUCAUCAUCAACUUUAUUUUUGACAAUUUAUCCUCUCUGAUUUGACUACCCAUCUAUCCGGUGGUUGAAGCCGCAAAGUAGUAUCAUCCUCCGCCCUCUCCGUCGCCCCCUCCCUAUAUUCCCUCGCUCGCUUCGCCCCGAUCUGAUUCCUCUCCUCCUCCUCCUCCUUCACCUCCGCCGUUCCCUCUUCACCGGCUGGCCGCUUCACCGGGAAAAGAUCGAGCGAUUUUGCCGAUUCCAAAACGCUCUCCCUCACUUUGAAACUGUUCUUAAAUUGACUUUCAACGAAGCUCGACAUCAACGAGAAGAUGUUAUUGCACAAAGAUUUCACCUCGUCCAAUUGUUCCGUGAGCUGAACUUUCUCUCUUCUCAGCCGAUCGUUCUCGUCAAUCAGCUCUGCAAGAGCUCUGGUUGGAGUCUCAUCAGACGAAAUCACUUGUUCUUCACCUGAAGAAUUUCCCGUCAAUGUCAAUACUUGGACAGACGGAAUCGCUGAAGCACCAACGGUUGUCACCACAGCCGCGUUAGAAGCAGUGGACGGAACCGGACCGACCAAUUUCCGACGCUGAAUCUCACAAAGAAGCUGUUUCUUCCCUUUGCGAAAGCACUCGUUCGCGAACUCCCAACGAUCCGAUACAACCUUUCUAAAUCCCUAAAACAGAACAAAAAAAGAAAUCCAAAAUGAAAGAAAAAUCCACGACCGCUGAGAAGGAAACAUGAAUGAAAUUGAAAUCCAGUAGAGGAUUGAUUACAUAAGUAUUGAGCUGACGGAGAAAGCUGGUGAAGUUAUUAUGCUUGAAAUACUUGGGAAGCAAAUCUUUAGCGAAAGCCAUGGUGUUCCAGACGAUGAAGGUAGAUCCGUCGUCGUUCCAUGAAAUGACAUGGUCGAUUGAGCGGUCGUCGACAAGCUGAUAAGUCUUGGUCAAGAAAGGAGUGGGAACAGAUCUGUAGGAAUCGAUAGGAGUAGGGGUGGGAUUGGCGGUCGGCUCCUCCAUGAGAGGAGCCAGAAGAAUGAAGGAAAUGAGAUGGGGUAAUGAUGGGAGGGAAGUCGGAAAGCCAGAAAGCGUGAAGGAAGGUUCGAAGUGUGAGUUAUGGAAGGAAGGAAAGUUGUGAGAAUUUUCCGGGAAGGGGAGUUGGGAAUUUCAAUUCUAGAAGGUUCGUGGAAGAAGAGGAUGAAGAGAAGAUUUUUUUGUUGAUAAAGUUGCUGAUUUCAGAAACUUCCUCGAAAGCCUAACUUUUUCUUUUAAUUCUUUUAAUUCUUUUAUUUCUUUUAAUUCUUUUAAUUCUUUUAAUUCUUUUAUUUCUUUUAUUUCUUAUUUUAAGCUGUCACCCACCAGUCCCUUCUAUGAGCUUACCCCAAAAUCCAAAUCUUUCCACGUAGGCAGCCACAUAGAUUAUUUCUUUUUUCUAUUUUCAAGAGUAAUUUGCUUGAAAAUCCAAUCCCAAAAAUGGUUAUAUAUCGACUUCAUUAAAAAUAAUGUUGGUUCGUCUUUGUCAAACAAUUUUUCUUUAUUUAAAUCAUCAUUCAUAUAAAAAGAAAUUCAAUUGUCAAAAAUGGAAAAAUGUACAAAUACAAAUGACGUGGAUGUCAAAGAAAAAAUCAACUAUAAUGAGUUUUUUUACUUUUAUUUUUUUUGCAAUAAGACAAAUGAAAAAUAAGUUCAUAAAAAAGGAAGUUAAAUAAAAUUUCAAAUAGAGAAUACUCUUUUCAAUAAUUUCCCGGAACUAAAAUGUUAUUCGAAGUGUUUUUUUAAUUGUAUAAAAAUCAAUUUUACAGAAUUUCAUCCAUUUUCUUUUAAUUUAUAAAAAUGAAGAAUUCAAAGUGUUUUUUUUUUUUUUUUUUAGAAAUUUGAAAUAAAAUAUAAACAAAACCUGAAGUGAAAGUAUAAACAUGAUGAAGUCCAGUCCCAUUUCCAAAGAUGACCAAAAUCUAACAAAAAAUAAAAUCAAGAAAGAAUCCACGAGAAAGAAAUGAUUAGAAAAAGGAAUAUGAAACAAAGAAAAGGACUGCAAAAGAGGAACAAUGAAACAUAUUUGUCCAUAUUGAAGACUUCUCAAUUAAGUUCCUCAAUUUCUCUUCCUCCAUAUUCACCAAAGUCAAAAGCUUCCAUCACAUUCACCCACAAAAUAUGCUCAUUUUCUGCAAUCUUUGGCAACACCAUCAUUGACCAAGACACUUGAAAUUGAUGUCCAAAACCAAAAUUCCAAUCAAAACAUCAAUGAAGAUACAUAUAGUUCCUCUUCCCUGGUUCUACUCAACGAUGCUGACCAUCUCAGCCACCCACCCAAACACACAUAUCAAGACACCUCUUUUCAAUCCUUUGUUGUUAAGAUAUCUUUCCAACGACCACAUGCAAGGAUCCGAUCUCGCGGUGCCUUAGUUAUACAAUCUAUAUUAGUUUUUCUAAUAAAAUUGUUCUUCCUUUGUCCCAUAAGCAUAUUAUUAGUGAACCACAUAACUUACAUCAAUCCUAAACCCUAAACACACGGACGAUGAGGGUACCCAGUACCCAUAGUUGAUCUUUCUAACACAAGACAUUAUCUCUCGGGAGAGGGUUAAUAAAAAAGUGUUUAGAGACGAGACUUUUGAUAAUUAAGACAUUUCAAACUUUCCUUUCUGCAGAGGAAACCGCUAAAGCCAUAUUGUAUGCAAAGUCACAUUCUUUUUCUUCAAAUUCCCAACACUAGUGCCAACUUUUUCUAAAGGUAAAGUCACAAUUUCCUAGUCAACUGCAUCACUGAGAUUUUUCUCCAUUGCCAAUUCCAAAUGGAACUCUCAAUUUCUUUAUUGGAAUAGGAAGGGUGAAACAUAUUAUGAAUUGGAAAAAGAAUUUCAUUACCUAAUGUUGACAAUCAACACUUCGAAAUGCUGAAAAUUUUCCAUUUCUCCAGUUUUCUCAAAACACUCCCAACCCCCAAUCUUGCAAGUUUACAAAUAUUCUUUCCACGGCUCAAUCUUGCAGAUGAAUCUUUCUCCAGAUUCACUUUCAAUCUUGAGGCCAUCCCAAAACCACUCUACUGAGGUUAUCAAACAUAUUAUGUUCAUCCUCAGACAAAAGAAUUGUACCAUCAGAAAAUUACAUUCAAAAUUCAUCCAAAAUCAAUUUCAGACAUCGCCCACCACAAAAAGGAAGGAAAGGAUAAUCCUCUAGCCUGAGCUAUUCAUCUCUAAGACAUUUUUUUUAAUCCAACGCCUUAAAGAGAAUCCCCCCAUUGUACAUUACAUUUCAUAAGCAAUCUCAUUAACAGAAAACUAAGAAUGAACAGAAAACUAAGAAUGAAGUAUUUAGACAACUCAAUUCAAUUCAUAUGAUAUGUUGCUUCAUUCAAACGAAAUACACACCUGAACUGGCGAAGAUUGAAGAAGACAUCACUGAGAAGUCAUAAUGCAAAUUCAAAACCGUAACAACAAAAACCAUCUCAUAUUUGAUUCGUCGAUCGGCAUUAGUUUGUACAAUAAGAUUCAUGAAGUUCAAGAGCACAAUAUAUGGAUAUUUUCAUGGCUUGAACCAAAUUGUUCUCAUUUCGCUCAAAAGCUUACAGCAGUCUAAACUCAAUGGACAAAAUUCCGGGAAAAUUUAAUAGCGAGAGAGCGAAAGAAAAAAAAAAAGAACACAUAUUUCACAUUGUCAAGAAACAUACAAGAUACCACGACGAUAUAGCACAAUGGUGGCAGAUGUAUAAAGAGUCAGUACGGAGACAAUCCACCAAGCCAUUAACAGAGCCACUUGGUUGACAAAAGAAGAACAGGGAAGAAGAAAACUUACCAAAUUGGUAUUUUUGAAAGAGUUGAUAUCAAUUUGAGAUAACCCAACAAAAAGCAAAACUAAGGCUGGUGGAGCAAAAAACUGCAAAGCAGACACACAUAAGUAGUGAUUAUGUAGAAAAACCUUUGCUCUACUGAAAUCCAAGUCAGGAACUUUCCCAGCAUGCAAUCUUUGGUACCAAGAUAACAGAGCUUCGUUCAGAUACAUUUGCAAGUUCUGCCUUACUGCAAUGAUUUGCAAGAAACCAGAUAGUGUCAAACACCAAAGCCUAAGUUUGGCAAAAUCUUCCUUCGAGAAUCCUAUGCUUCCGACCAAUCUGUCAGCAUUUCGAAUUUCACUAGACAUAUGUCCAAUUGUACCUUCGCCAAUGUUCUUCUUAAUGAAAAUUUCAGCUAAUGGGUUAACCCACAGCAAGGUGGUGAAAGCCAUGGCUGCCUGACUCGAAUACAAAACUAUCCUAGAAAACCAUCCACAAUAAACCAUAUCCAAAUUGCAUCUAAUUUGAUCAGUUCCAAGCCAAAAUGAUCGAGUGAUUUUGGUUGCAGGUAUAAACAAAAACCCAGCACACAACCCCAUUAAGAUAGCAACAAAGCAUGCCCCCAUACCACCAAUUUCACGGAGAUCAAAAUCUAAUAUAAGAGGACUAAAAGCAGAACAAGUUAGAAGUCCAAAAAGAAACCCAAAAACUCCAAAGAGUAAACUUAAUUGCCUAUCCAACGUUCUGGAAGCAGAUUUCUCAAAAGCAACCUUUGUGAGAGAUACAAAUAGCUUACACCCAGCAAAGAUCACAAACAGAAGAGGAACAAAAAUCCCAUUUCCCCAAACCCCAGAAUUUUUUGAUGCACCCACGAAAAUUUGCAGCAGUAAACAAGAAAUACCCACAAAUGAAAAGGUGAAAGCAUCUCUGUAUUCUUUGAAAUAGAUCCGCGUUUGCAGAUGAUUCUCAUCCAGCUUUAACCUGAAGAUCUGCGCCUUGCUUUCAUCAAACUCAGCCUUGUCCUUCGACUUUGUUCUUUUCUUGAUCUCAGCGGCAGCAGUUGAGGACAAGUUCCGGUACCCCUUUAGUCCAGUGCCGGAGCUAGAACUGUCAGGUCGUCUAAUUGCGGCUCGGACGCCGCUGUUGGUAUUAUCGGGGUGGAUGUAAGUGAAUAUGCCAUGAAGGAAAAUGGAUGGGAUAUUGAAGAAGAUGAUAAAAACAGAAAGCGAGAGAGACAGAGCAACAUGAAGAAGCAAAUUCCUGUAUAUUGAAAGAAUUUGUAGCAACAUAGCGUGAAGAGGUGGUUGCUUGGUUGUUUGUGGGGGAUUUGUAGACUGUCUUUGAAGCUUGAGAUCUCUGAGAAUGGAGAUUCCCCGAGUCCGUCGUCAACUUGGUUUGGUAAAGAAGAAAAAGUAUUGGGUUUGGGUUUGGGUUUGGAUUCAACACUAUUCGACCAUUGGGCUUGGUUUCGGUCGCUGUAUACGGCGGUGCUGAGCGGUGUCAAAACGGAAGGUCUUGAAUCGGGUCGGCCCAAGGUGCAGAUUCUUAGGUAAUAGUUACGGUUAGGUUGGAAUACCGAUGGUUGAUGAAAAUACGCGCUUCAAAUAAAUCUCCCUCAUUUCAAAUUUACAAUAUUUAACCUAAUACAUACCAAACUAAUAAAUUUCUAUUGAUUUCUAUCAAAUGUAUGUAAAAUUUUGAAACUUUGUUAUAUACAUUUCUGUUAUGGUUUAUCAUGUUAUUUUGUACGUGGUAAUGAUCAAUAAACUUAACAACAAUAUUUAACUUUACACAUUAACUAUCAUACACAUCCAAACACAAAUAUUAAUCAUCAUACACAUUUGAUAUAGCAAAAUGUCAUUGUUUGUUGAUGAUAGAUUAUGAUAGACAACCAUUAAUAGAUUUUAAAAUUUUAUUAUAUUCAUAAAUAAUUUAAUUAAUUCGGUUAGGUUAAAAAAUAUCUCAAAUAUAAUUCUGGUAAGGCAACUAUGUUUUGACUUUAAAUAUAAUUGGAGUGAUGUUGUGAGAUGAAGUUAAAUGCAUUAUUCACUAAAUUCAUUAUGAAAAUAAUUAGAAACACAACUUGAGGCUUUAGAGUAUUUGUUGUUGCAAUUUACGUAGAAGGAGUAUUUCACCUUGUAUGUCAUUUGGUGAAUAUUUGUAUUUCGCAUUGUUUUGACACUCGAUGUCUCGCCUUGUGUAGAGAUUAGAAUGCCUAAGGAUCAGCUCACGGAAAUUUAUUACGUACUAAUCAGUUCGUCUAAAUGAUUAGUUUACCUAAUCAAAACGGCUCUUGUCAAUAUGUCUACUGCAAAAUAGAAAGGAGGUUGAGUCGUGGAUCUUGCUCUUUUGAAGAUGUUUUGCGACUCUACUUCUUUGUACAAUCAGAUUUUAAAAGCCUCGUCGUCUCCAGGAUAAAACAGUUGUGUUCUUCAAUUCACUUUUGCACUAAAAACUAAUUGGAGGAUCAACACUCAAAUAGACACUAUUUGUUCAAAAUCUUUCAAAGAAAGUUUUUAAAGAGAGCUUUUCUAGUUUUUCUCAUUUUUAAAAAAAUGAAGAACGAAAGAUCUUUAUAAGUGGAGGAGAAUGAGGACAUUGGAACUUAAUUAUGAGAAUCAAAACAUUUAGUAAUUAAAUAAAAAAAUUUAAUUUUGGAAAUGUUAUAAAUUAAUUAAAAAAACAUAAUUAAAACGUUUAAUUCUUUUAGGAUGCGAAAUGAUCAUAAUGAUUUGUAGUAAAGAAACGGAUUUAAUAUCAUUAUUACAUCUCAUAUUGUCUAGCCAAUCCACCUCAAGAUUAAAGCAAAAAAAAAAAGAAAAAAACUCUUAGCCAUCUCGCCUAGAUGACCGUUUGUGCGUGGAGAUUAGUAAAUCUAAUUGCCUAACUAUUAUCUAGGAUGACUUCACACACCUUAUUUGUUUACCUUCUUUCAUUUCCAAACUCUCGUUUGAAUUAAUAUUUUGUAAUAAUAACAUCUUCAGAAAAAUUUCAUCAUCAACAGGAUUCAAUGACUUAAAAGAGGUCUAUAUGCAUGACUUACUUUUGAAAUAUUUUAUUCUUACAAAUCUGUAAAGAAUUUGAUACUUUUAAUAGAUAAUUAUCCAAAAUUAAUUCCAUAACAUAAAAAUCAUUUGAUUAGAGGUUGAAAGUUCAACCCUAUCUCAUAACUGUUGAACUAAUUGAAAGUGAUUUAUCAUAUUAACAUAACUCAAUUAUUUAAGAAAUCAACUAAUUGUAAUUUUUUGAGUUCAAAUAAUUGCACAAAGAAGAAGAUUGAACUACACAUAUAAAAUAUUUAUAUGAAUAUUGUGUUGUGUGGCAAAUGAGGUGACUAUUGUUUACUCAUAAAUAGUGAAUUUUCAUAUAUAUGGUCACCAUCACAUUCAAACAAGAUGAAAAGACAAAUAGUUGUCAUAAGUAACUAAACAAAAACAAUGAAAAGUUAUGAGAAGAAAACAAGAAUAAUAUAAAGAUCUUUUUUUCUCGUAUACUCUCUUCUAUAGAUAUUUUAUUUAUUGAUAGAAUAUGUUCUUGAAAGAUUAAUGAUGUGAUAGGUUCAUUAAAAAAAAAAAAAAUCAAAACCAUUGACCUUAUGGAACCCUAGAAAACGGACUCUUCACAAGAUCAUAUUAUUAUUUUCCUUUUAAACCCUUUCUUGAUGAUAUACAUUAAGCAUAUGCUUCCUCAUAAAAAGGAUUGAUGAAAAUGAUUUCCGAUACAAAAAAUUGUUUAAAUUUUAACGAAAGAAUGUGAGUAAGAUAAGAUUUUGGCAACACACACUUUAUAUUGAUGAAUCCCUUUCCCUUAUCCCCACAUAACUCUCAUCCACUUUAAUGACUUUCCAUUGCAUCCAAUAAAUAAAUUUAGGAAAAGAACAACCCCACACAAUAAAAAUCAAACCCACAUUCCCAAAUCAAAUAAAAAAUAUCUUCUCUUUGACUAUACUUACACAUUUUAUAUAUAUAUAUAUAUAUAUAUAUGCUUUUUCGCUUAUACAUACAUAUAAUAACAAUCAAAAUCGGUAAUGGUCUCUCUUAUGAUCUUCUCUAAGAAAGAAAAGUGGGGAUAAAAGCAUAUGAUAAAAUAAACUUAGAUUUAAUUUGAAUAGCUGCUUUAUUUGUUAUUAAUGGGAUACCAAUCAACCUAACUUUAGUUUAGAAUGGAACUUAAUUUAAGAUUAAAUGAACAUUAUUUUAUAAAUACCAGACUUCUUUAUUGUCUUACCCUAUGUCUUCUCUAAGUUUUUGUAUCCAUUUUGUAUCAUCUUUAAAUUAUAUAUCUUACCAUAUUAUAUUAAUUGUAUUUUUUUAAUAAAAAAUAGACGUUAUUAUGUGAACUUAAAAUUUUAGAGUUGCUUUCUAUAAAAUAUGUUAUGAAAUAGUACACCACUUGUGAAAAUGAGUUUCUAAUUGAAUAGUUGUGUACCAUUUGUAAUAAUUGUGUGAUUCAAAAAGUUAGAACAAAAAUAUAAAUAUUGAAAAAAAUGUGAAUAAUGUGAUAAUUGAGACUUUCAAAUAUUGGAUGCAACUUUCUUUUAAAGGAUGUAUUUCUACCAAUACAUUUCAACGGUUAAAUCCUGAUGUUUCAGAUUUACAUUCUUCUUCAUAUAUAUACCCAUAUGCGUCAAACUGACACACACAACUUCUCAAUCACAUUUUCAUUCAAGCAAUUGUAUCCUAUCAAAAUUAAUUGAUUGAUAUGAGCAAAGAAUGUUGAUAAGAAAAAAGAGGUUAAGAAUGGUUUAAGCCGUAAAAAGAAAUUGUACAAUUGUGACCAUUGAGAUAUAUAUGUGAAUUUAUAUGCUUUUAAAUUUUAAAUGCCCAAUUUGUUAGAGGUGGUAUUCUAUAAAAAAUAAAUAUAUAUAUAUAUUUGCCCACACACAAAAACACAUCUUAAUUAUUAGAUUUAUGAUGUUUUAUAUAUGUAUGGACUUAAUGAUCAUACAAACAGAAAUAUUGCUUCUUUCAAUCGAACAUCUUGACCCAACGAUUGUGUUCUACAACAAUUUCAACCAAUUUAAUGUACUUCAAGUUUGAAAGGGAAAAUAUAUUAAAAAGUUAGCUAAAUAAUUAAAUCUUAAAAAUUCAUGUCAACCCUGAAACUUAGUUUCAUUCCCUUUCCACAAGUCAUUCCAACUCAAAAUCUCAAGCUUGUCCCAACCUCAAAUCCGACUAUUGACAUCAACAUUUUGGGAUUAGGUUUGAGUCGGUCCAACCUUUUAAAUAUAGGUUCAUGGCUCAAUGGCUCAAUCUACGAACCUCUUGUUGGAGGGAUCAAAACUGAAUUAGAUUUAGACUAGUUAUUUGGAUUGUGAUCGAAUUUGAAAUGAUUAAUUGUUUUUAUUUAAAAGCAGUAAGCUGUUGAAGACUUGUUUACAUUAGAGUAUGAAACUUUCUCAUCGGUUAAAAAUUUUCAAAGUGAAUAGAGUGAAUCUUUUGAUAAAUUUUUACUUUUCAACUCGGCCCUAUGGAUACUACUACUACACAUUUAACCAUCUCUUUUUUUAUUUAUUUAAUUUUCAUGCAUGUGUAGAUGAAGAUAUAUUGUUUACGUUGUUGAAUUGAAUUUUUAAGAAAUUAAAUUAUUACUAUUGAUUUAUAUACACCCGUGGAUUUAGUAUAGGUUCAGGGGUCGAGCCCUCCUCAAUUUUAUUGUCUUUAUAUAAUAUGUAUAAACAAAACCAAUUAAUAUUUAAUAUUUGUAGAUGGUUUAGUGGCAACUAUGUUUUUCAACUCCUAUUCUAACCAAAGUUCAAAUUUUAUUUAUAUAGUUUUUUUUUUCUCUAAGUUACAACUGGAACCCGGUGUCAAUAAAUUUUAAUGAAGUGAGAAUUUGUUAAGAAUAUAAAAAUAAAAGAAACUACUUAUCAAAUAAAAAAGAAAAAGAACUUUUUUAAAAGGGUAUGGAGAGUUAAUUUUAUUAUAUUAUGUAAAUAGUUUUAAUCUUUUCGUUAUUUUUAAAAAUAUUAUAUAUAUAAAUUAGUGUGCAUAUAGAUGAGAUUGAAUUGGCCUUUUAACCCGUCCCGACAUGGUGAUUCAGAUAUGGGUAAAACGUGUUGGCCCAAUUGAAAGAAAAUUAGAAUAUAUGUAUAUCCAAUUUAUUUUUAGGAAAGGUUUAGACGGUGUUUCCCAUAUUUAAAGAAUAAGUUCGUAUAUCCAAUCUAAUUUACGAAAUAAUUGAAUCGACUCACAUAACUCAACCCUUGGGCUACGCUUCCAUCUAACUUCGGCUUUUGGGCCCAAGGAGAAGAUUGAUCGAUCUAAACCUCUGCCUACACAUGGGGGUUCUUUUUGAACGUUCGUUGCAUUUGUACUAACACAUCUUUAUUAUAUUAAAUGGUGAUGCUUCACUUCUAUGAUCACAAUUACAAUACACUCUACUCAUCCUAAUAAAUACAUGACCAAAAUGAGUUUAACACAAUACCAAGUAUUGAUAUGACCUUUGUUGUUUGAGCUUAAAGAUGAAGAUUCAAUACAUAUAUAAAUGAUUGUUUAGACUUUAGAUGAUGAACCACAACAACAUACCUAAAAACUAACCUUAGAAAAUAUAAAUCAUGUAAUUAACACAAGUAAAAUAAAAUAUGUGUAAAGCAGUACUGAAGGUGAAUGGUAAUUAAUUCAACCUCAUGAUGUCAUACGUAAAAUAUGACUUGUAAAUUGAACAUGAAGUAAGCCAAUUGAAAUUCACUUAAUUUCUGAAUUAGACCCAUCUUUGUGUUUGUUUGUUUGUUCAGACAAUAAUUAAUUAAAGAUCUAAAAACUAAAAUGAAAAGAUAUAAAGAUUAAAAGAAGAAGAAGAAGAAGAAUAUAUUUGCUAGUUGAGAGGUGACAUGGGAUGGUCUCUCUCAUCUUCAUCCUCAACUGCUCUCUUUUCCAUCUGUGGGACCACCUGUCAUUUCACACAAAACCAUUCCACAUUUUUAUUUCAAUUCUAUAAUUCAUUCAUUCAUUAAUACCAUUUUUUAUAACUUCUUUUUGUGUAUUUUACAAGAUAACCAUCAUUCCUGAGCUUUGUUUAAUAAUUGAACCAGAUAUUUUUAGUUUCUUCUCUUCUCUUUUCUAUUAUCAAUUUUACUACUAAAAAAUUAAUAAUUAGAGUUUAGCCAAUUAGAUGUGGGAGCACAAAGCUAUAUGCUUUAAUUACGGAUAUGAUCACUUUUUUCUUAAUUUUAUAAUCUAUAUCCACGUGGCAUUUCCAAAAUACCCACACCAGCCGCAAAAAAAAAAAGGCAGCAUAAUUAUUUCGAUGGAAAAAGAAGGAGAUAAAGACAAAAACAAAUAGGUCAUUUCUAUUAUUAGUAGAGAUAAAAGAAAGAAAGAAAUGUAAUGUUUAAAUUUAUAGUAUAUAGUUUCUGCACUAGCCUGAUCUUGAGUUGAAGUGUACGGUGGAGAUGAUAUCCUCCUAGAUCUCCUCGUAGAUCUACCGUUGAUUCUUGCACUUCCUGGAUCAAACCCAAAAUAAAUUAAAAUAAUAAAUAACAAAAAAAGAAAAAGGAAAAUGCAAGCAAAGAAUAUUAAUGAUCUUUUUGGAGUUAGAGGAAAGUGAUUUAUUUAUUUAUUUAUUUAUUUAAGAAAUAAUUUUGUGAUAUCUAAAUCAUACAUAAAUAUCUUCCUAAGGAAUAUUCACUAUUCUCACUUUUUUUUUUCUUUAUCUUAUUUGAUAGACGUUGUUUGGUCGGUCCUUUUUAGUCAAAAUAAUAACAAUAACAAAAAUAAAUAAAUAAAUAAAUAAAUAAAGCAUUUUUUUUAAUUACAAAGUUUUUUUAAAAAAUGUAAGAUUAAACUGACCGGAGGUGGGAUGGUUUUUGGUGUGGUUAUGAGGGGAAUCUAGGGUUGAGUCAGCGGUGUCCGGCAAGAGGCGGUCCAGCCGUAGACCGCGGCGAUGUGCGCGAUUUUGGAACAUUGAUCGGACGAAAGAAGCUUCCACGGAAUUCAAGAAGUGCAUGUGCUUCUCAUUAGUCCAAAGCGGCCCGGUUUGGGUGAAUUGCACAUGCGAUUCCAUGGGUUUAAUAAUUAGGUGUGUAUGAGAACAUAAAAUUGAAGGGAGAGGAAUUGAAAGAAGAAGAAAUAAGAAAGAAAGAAAGAAAGAAAGAAAGAAAGAGAAGAAAAAACACUUUUCCGAUGGGUUUGGGAGAUAUGAAUAUAAUGUACUGGAUUGGUGGGGUUUUAAUUACGUUGGUUUUUAUAGAAGCGCUUUUACAAAGAAAGAAGAGAAGCUAUAGGGUUGGCGACUUUGGCGUUUCCUUUUUCCCAAUUCUGAAACGCGACUACACAUUAAAAUCAUGUGUUUCCCCUACUCGCCUUUCACCCUCUCUCCCUCUCUCCCUCACCUACUUUUUAUAACCUCCCCCAUAUUAAAAAAAGUUAAAACAACCUUCCUUAUAUUUAAAAUAUCUUUUUAACCAUUACAAAAGGGUUCCCAUAAUUAUAAAACAAUUCUAUCUUUUAAAUUCUAGAGACUAAAUUCUUUUUUAUCAACCUAUAAAAUUAUUUAUUAUUAAUAAUAGAUAUUCGUUUUGAGUGACAAUUUAUAAUUACUUCAUUUAUUGUUUAUGUGGCUUGAUAUUGGAUAUGUAAGGGAUACAUAUAGGUUAAAAUUCUAAAUAAAUUGGAGUCAGUGAAGAGAUUUUAUUUUCUUAAUUAAUUCAUUUAUACUAUUUAUAUAUGUUGUUAUAAUAUAUAUAUAUAUAUAUAUUAUAUGCGUUUCUUGGUUGUGCCUCAUUUUUACACGUUAUGAGUGCUAACUCUAGCCUACUCCUCCACUGAAAGUAGGUAGGAUUUUCUCACUUUAUUAUAAAAAUGUUAUUUUUCAUAUUUUAUGUAUAUUAAAUUUCUGAUAUAAUUAUAAUAUUUUAAAAUAAUGUUACCAUGUCCGAUCUUGUAAAACUAGAAUUUACAACCUUUACAUCAACGAUAGCAAUUAGUUACCAUAGGUUCUUGAUGUGAGAUGUAUCUCGGCGCCAUGAAUAUGAAUCUCGCAGAUACAAUUAAAUAAAGAAAUACAACAACCAAUCAAGAAACAGUAAAAGUCAUUAUUUUCCUUUGUCAUCAAGGAUUUAAAAUUAGAAUAUUUAACAAUAAAAGAUCCUCGUACAUUGUGGAGUAAAUUGAAAAAAAAAUAAUUAAUCAUUUAAAAUUAGUUCAUCUUGCGCAAGCUCGUUAUGAUGGGAUAAAUUUGAGAGUACAAAAUUUUAAAUCAAUAAGUUAUUAUAAUUUUGAAUAUAUUAUUUAGAAUUAGACAUGUUGAAAAAAAAUAUUUGCUACUUUAUUUUCAUAUAUAUUAAAUAUGAUCUGGCAGCAGCAAUAUCGAGAGAAAAGUUUUACAAAACAUUUUGAAAUCAUCUCGUCUUAUUGUUACCGAACAAAAUAACAGGUUGUAGAUGAAAAACCACAAAUCCUGAACAAUUGGAACAAAACCAUUCCUUGAGGCGAGUGAUCUUGUGAAUUUUCAUCGCAGAAGGGAUUGUGGUCGAAGUAAUAAAGAUUGUGGUAGAGGAAAAAAUAAUUAUUAUUUUCGGUGUUGGUCACUAUAAUAAUUAAAUUUAAAAAAAACCACACGAAAUGAUGAGUAUUAAAGUGAAGGCUCCACAAAAUAUAAGAAUACAAAAAUGGAUGAAGAACUAUUGAUAUAUACGACUAGACAUUGAUCGCAUGUUUGUCUUAUAAAUCGAAACACUUAUAAUAUUUCCAUACCAAGUCUCCUUAGAGAAGAAAAAAUGGGGAAAAUGUAGAGGUUGAUUGUGUCUAUCAAGAUAAUGAUAUAUUUGAUCCAUCAAGUCUAACAAACUUGGAUGUGGUAGGUUUUUUUGGAACUCCUUAAGAAAAUCAAAAUUCACAAUUGACAAUGCAUUUUUCUCAAGUUAAUCAAGGAGAAAUCCACUUAGUUUUAAAGAUAUAUGUAGAUCUAUUAGCCCACCAAGUGGACCAUUAAAGUAUUUUAUGAUAUCAGUAGAUGUUCAUUUUAAGUGUCUAUGCCAAGUGAUAAUUCAUAACUACUCCAUUCACAUAUAUCUCAAUAUGACACACCAUUAGUGUUCAUUUAAGUCACCACCUACUUGCCAUUUUGCCUAUAAGUGAGAUAUAUAUCGACUAAAAAUUCAAAUAAAUUGGAGUUAGUGAGUGGAGAGAAUUUGUUUUCUUUUAACUUUCUUAAUUUAUUUAUCCAUAUUAUUUAUAUAUUCUAUUUUAUUUAUAACCAUAGUAUUAUAUUUUUUUGGAUAUGCGUAUUCUUUAUUUUUACGACAUAUAUAAGAUUAUUAAAUCAUAUAGAUUAAAUUUUAAUUUUUAAAAAUUUUAAAAACUAAAUUCUAACCAUUUUUAAACAAUAUGAACUUUGACUUUAUAUAUAUACAUACAUUUUGUGUUAUUGAGAAUGAGACAACUUGUAAAUUGUAAAUUGUAAUUACGGUGAGAAGAAACUUAAAUUACAUGGAAACCCUACACACAACUAUUACUAUUGUGUAUCUUAACUAUUAUAAUUGCCUGUUUAAAAAAAUGAUAGGUAUAUUAUAUGAAAUAAGUCGUGUAGAAUUAGUGAUAUACAUUUAAAAUAAGUUUGAUGAAGCUACAUAUAUGACAUGAAUGCAAAUAGGCAUUAUUGAUCAUUUAAUAAUGCGUACAGUGGAUUGAUUAAUUAGAAAUAAGUAGCAAAUUGAAUUAAGAUGUUGAGUUAGAGGUAUAUUAGAGUUAGAAAAGAAGUAUUUUUAUAUAUGAAUAAAAUUAGGAAAGUGCAUAAUGAUAAUAAUAGUAAGGGGAGAGGGGGAGAGGUGGGGGAUGGAGAGAGCGAGUAGAGAGAAAAAGAGUAGUGGGGGAGGUGGUGAAAAUAUCUAGAGGGGAUUUAAAUAGUGAAAAGAGAGAUAUUUUAGAAGGUGAACAGAGAGAGAAGGAAAAAGAUCUGAAGGCUGGUUUUUGUGUCCCACACACACACUCACUUUUAUUCCAGUUGGCCGAUUCUGACCAUUUUCCUCUUUCUUUCUUUCUUUCUUUCUCUUUUUUACUAUAUUUAUUUACUAUUCCCUCCAUCAUCUUUAAUUUAAUUGUUUAUCGUCUCAUUAAAUUAUGUUUAACAAAAUAUCUUAUUACAAUCAAACCAACUUUGGGUACAUAUCAUCAACUAUCCCUUUUUAUUUACUCUUUUCUUAUUCAUUAAUUAACCCCCAGCCAGCCCAUCAAUAAUAUUUUCAUAAAUUUUAAGUUUUGUCCCACCAUUUUUAUAAGUUAUUUCUUCCUCGAUUUAUAAUAUUAUGAUUAUUAUAAAUAUUUACCGAUUUCCUCCUUUUCUUCUUUUGAAAGCAUCAAAUACAUAGAAAUUUAAAAUCACAUAUUAUUUCUUAAGCGGACAACUCACGGAAGGGCUGUGAGUUUGUGUGAUUAUACCUCAUCAAUACACCCAUUUAUUUCUUACAUAAUAUUAUCAUUUAUUAUCCUUCAUUUUAGACCUAUUUUUCCAUUUCAUGCUAAAUUCUGAACCAAAAAAUAACUUAAUUAUUACAAUAAAUAUCUUUUCACUCACCUAUAUACUUACCUGCUUUCCUUUCAUUCCUAUCCAAUCUUAGGACGUAAUUUCUAUAUCCUUCACAUGAACAAAAGAAGUAUACUUUGAUUGCUUAAUUAUUCAAUAUCAAUACAAAAUAAUAAAAUCAAUGUUUAAUAUAAAAAUAUUCAUUUGUUUUUAUUUUAUGUGAUUCAAUAAUUAAUUAAUAGAAAAUAUAUCAUAAAUAAGUGCAUUAUAAAUUUAACAAAAUGUACUAAAAUAUUUAUAAAAUAUAACAAAACUUUAUAUUUCAUAAGUGAAUCCACCCAAUUAGUGGUAUUGAUAAAAGCUUGUUAUUCAUCCAUAAAAUAUCUGAAAUUUUGUUAUAUUUUAUAAAUAUCGUCAAUAAUCUUGUUAUCGUUAUUUACGAUAAAUUUUUUAAUAAAUAAUUCUAAAUUAAAUUUAUGAUUACAUUAAUUACUUGCCAACUUACCUUUGAUUCUUUUUAUUUAUUAUUUUUAAGAAUUAAAAAAAAUAAAAGAAAUAUUUACCCUUCAUCCCAAUACUUCACCGCACAUUUUACCAUUUAAUCUAAAUAUUUGAUCAAUUUUACCAUUUUUACCCUUUUCCACUUUUUUUAUUUACAAACUUUCCUAUAUUAAUUAUCUUAAAUACCAAAAUACAUAAAUUAAUUUUCUAAAAUAUUUGAAAAGUCCAACAUUUAAAUUCCAAAUAUUUUAACAUGUAAACACAAAAGCAAAGUUAUUUGUUAUCCAAACCUAUCCUAAUAGUAAUUAUAAUUAACUUUAAAACAAGUUUUUAAAUAUAUGUAAAAGAAAAAUUGAACUAAAAAUAAAAUAUCUUUUAGAGAUUAUUAGAUGAUAUGUAAAUAUAGGGUUUAAGAGAUUAAAAGAUAGACGUAAAGAACUAUUCUAUUUUUAGUUUAGGCAUCAAUUUAGUUAAAUUGAAUCUUGCAUUCAUCGGAAACAUAAUUGUUGAAUAAAGCAAACUUUGUUGACAACUUUUUUUUUUCUUUUUAAGUUAUCAAUAUCCAAACACAAAAAUAAACCCACUGUCCAACGUCCAAAUCUUAUUUUAGUCAAACCAUUUACUUUUCCACUUUUAUAAUUAAUACAAGAUCAUUUCGAAUCAAAAUAGUAUGUGAACAUUUAAAAAUCGAUCUAAAUUUCGAAACAUUUAUCAAUCCUUUUGUUAUCCACUAGAUGAAUAUCUUGAAUAAUACAAUAAUUAACGUUUUAUUUUGAAUGAAUUUUUUAAUUGAUUAUAAAUAUUUUCUUUGUUUUAAUUAAUGGCGAUUAAAAAUUUUAGAUUGACUAUAAUAUUAAAAAUUUAGAAGAAAAGACACAUGUCAAUUUUGUGAGUUGGAUUCAAUGGAAUUGGAUAUCAAAUUAAAUUUAGGUGUUCAAAUGCAAAUAUGUAUAAACAAUUUUGAUGAUUUUUGAAAUAUAAAUAACGACAAAUAAUAAUCAUAGGAGUAUGAAACAAUAAACCCAAAGGCGAGGGUCUCGACCAAAUGGGUGGGUCUUGUACGCACCCACACCCCUCAAGAGCCAUUACCAUUUUGAUGACAUCUAUACGAGUCUUGAUCAUUCAUCAUCUAAUUUCUUCUAAAAGAAUUUCUAGUAAAAAGUUAAUCAACACAUCGACAUGAAUUAUAUUAAAUAAAACUUAGGAAUAUGAUUCAACCUAAAAAUUAGAAUAAUCGAACUUAUUAGGCACACAGAGAUCCUCAAGCAAAGACAACACCUCAAUACAUAUCAUCAAUUGUGUUGAAAACUCACAUCUUCAUGGAUACUGCUCGUCUCAAGUAGGAGUGAACAUUCGAACCAAUUUUAAAAAUCAACCAAAUCAAUUUGAAAACUUAAUGAAACCGUUUAGUCCAAUUUGGAAAUUUUUUAAAACCAAAUUAAUCAAUUUAUUUGAUUUUAAUUUCAAACAUUGAAUAGUAUUAAACCAUGGUUAACCAGAAGGAUAGAUAGAUUAUGUUGAAGGAAAAUCAUGGUACAACCUAAAAUAUUCGAGUUGACACAAAAAAAAAUGAUCAUAUUGGUUGAAUAUGCAAGACUCAACCGAAACAAAUUUGAAUUGGGUUGAUGAGUUUGUUCUUUUUUUUUUUUUUUUCUAUUUCUAAUUCAAUCCAUCCUUACAAUUUGGAUUGAGUAAAUGGAGUUGAUUGAGUAAUUAUAGAUUUUUUUGAAGAGGCUAAUGGAUGUAUACAUAAUUGAAACUGUUUUGAAUGGAAGGAUAGAUUUGUCUUCCCAAAAAUAUAUUCAAUAAUACGUAUAUAAGAAAACAAAAUCUUUAUUUAAAAUUAAAACAAAAAUCCAACCACGAUCACACUGAAUCUCAUCCAUUCAUUCAAGAUUGGUGUGGCGUGAUCGGACGGCCUCAGGGCUCUCUCCCAACACCUCACCUAUCCGAUACACCACCAUCUCAAACAAAACAAACAAAGCUCCUUCAUACAAACUCCCCAUCGGAAGCAGAGGCCGCCAUUCCGCCGCCUCCCCCGAUUCCUCAUCGUCCGCCAUGGUCUGCGCCGGAACGUAGCAAAUCACAUCCGCGUACUUCACAGACGACCCAUUCUCUGGCUGGGCCGUCAGAACCAAAACUCUCCCGCCCUUCGAUCUGGCCACGGAGCAAAUUGCAUCCACGGUCGAGAAUCCCCCCGGGCCGGCCGACGCAAUUAGUAGGUCAGAACCGGCGAUUGGAGGCGCGUUCAUGUCAAAAACUUGAUGCGAGGAGAGGCCGAGAUGAGCGAGGCGCAUACAGAGGGCUUUGAGCAUUAGGCCCUCACGGCCGACGCCAUAAAGAAACACCCUAGCCUUACGUUCCGCGACGGAGGAGAGCUCGGAGACCAAGAUUUCGAGCGGCGGCGCGUAGGGUUGCGUGGGUUUGGAGAAGAUGGAAGCAAUUUCGGAGCAUAUUCGGGAAGCAAGAGAAGCCGGUGAUUGGGAAGCCAUUGAAAUGGGAUUUUCGAGAGCUUGAUCGAGACUCUGUUAGUUUCAACGGAUAUUGUUUAAACUAGCGAAAUCAAGGAGUUUUUGUUACAUGUAAUGCCCUUGUGGUGGAAUCUUUUCGAAUAGUCCUCUGGUAUCAUGCCACGUAUAAUUAGAGUCCAUUGUUAUUGUUUUUCUUCAAAUUGGCAUGUGGUUGUUUAUGCUUUCUUCUCAUCUAACUAUACUCUAUACAUAACUUCCGUAUCCAAAUCUAUAAUGAAAUACAUAAGUUUUAUCGUUUUGUUGAUAAUUCACAUAUAUUUGUCCAAUCAAAGUUGUACAAAUUAAAGGAGUGAGUCUUUUAAGUCUCAAGAAAAAUCAUAGUAUAAACAACAAUAACAAAUAUCAACCCUAUUGAACGGCUAAAUUAGUUGUAAGGAUUGACUCAACCAAUUUUACUACAUAUCUCAAGUUUGACUUAAUGCAAGGUGCAUCUCACAAAUACUCUUGGUAAUAUUAAUUUGAAAAAAAGACUUACAAUGGGGAGGAGUCAAUUACAAACAAUACUACCUUGAAUGUUUUCUUUAUAUUUAUCAAUUAUUGCUUAGACAAUAAUUUGUAUUUGUAUUUUUAAUUCCUAUUCCUUCACCACUCAGGACAAUUUUUGUUCAUCAAAGUUCUAUGGCAAGAAUCUGUCAUAGAUGAUAGCUCUCUGUGAUCUACUACUUCAUCUACAAUAGCACUAAUAGAACUUCAAGCUCUUGUAAGAUAGGUAUCAACGAUUUUGCUGCUCUGUGGCACAAUAGAUUACACUGCUAAUGUGCUAACUCUUUUACCCCAGCUUCAAAUCCUCCUUGAAUGACAAUUAUAUAUGAAAGAUGAAAGAACUUGAGUUUUAUAUAGCUUCUGAUUCAGAUAGCAAGAAAGCCAUUGAGUGUAAAUAGGUGCAUUGAUUUUAAACAAAUUUCAAAUAGAAAUAUUGCUCGUUACAAAGCAUAGUUUGCUACCAAAAGCUUUUCAUCAAAAGAAAGAAGUGAAUUUAUUUGAAACAUUUUACAUUGUAAAAUAGUCUAUCCCCGUAACAUUUUUUUUUAGUCUCACCAAAUAAUGAAGCAAACACAAUAUUUGAUACUUUAUGAUGAUAUAAAUACGUAUGCAAUGCAACCAUAAUAGUUGUAAAAUAAAGUUAUUAUUGCGUACAUCAUUCCAACUAGUAAUAUGACUAAUGUUUUAAAAGAGAUGAGGAAAAGUUGUCCAACAAAAUUUAAGGACAUUUUGACCCAAAAACUUAGAAAUUGGUGAAAAUAACUCAAUUAAUUCAAUGAUAAACCCAAUUAAGAAAUUUCAUUUUUUUCUUUAAUUUUCCACAUCUACCAAUAAAUUACAUGUUAUCACAACUCUAAACCCAAAACAUAAAUUUACUAACAUCAACAUAUUAACUCCAAAUUUAUGAACAUCACUCGAUACACUAAACCACUCUUGGUUGAAUGAUAAUUAAUGAUUAAUAACUAAUAUGCACUUCUUUAAUUUUAACCACUUCUCCUCCAUCCCCAAAUAAGAAAAAGAAAAAAGGAAAACAAUUAGUAAUUUGGUAGGGGUGGGGGUAAUACCGGUAUUGAUAGAAGAAGAGAACAUUGUGUUGCAAUUGCGGCAAUCGGGAGAAAUCGAAACACAAGAAGCUUGAUUUGGUUCUAUAAUUAUUUGACGAAGAGACAGAAUUUCGGUUACUUUCAGACGGUGGGAGCUCGUAUUUGCUGCACUGGAAGCCAAAGCCCUACACUUGUAGCAGUUCUUUCAGUAAUCCUUCCUUUCCAAGAGUAUGAAUCCGAUUUUCUUAUUUAUCGAUCCGAAUUUUUAAUGGGUUUCAAUCAAAAUCUAUUCAAAUUGCCUGAUCUGAUUCAUUUUCUUCCAUAUUUGAGCUUUCGGUCCCCGAAUCUCAACUCGGCACUUUUCCAUUUUCAUUUCCACUCUUUUUCAUGAUGGAAUUCUCCCGUCUCCCAUUGGAAUUGUUUCGGGCGUUCAAUUGAUCUUUUUUUAUUUUAAUGUAUCGAGUAACAAAAAUUCUUAUAUGAAAUUGAUUUCGAUACAUAUCACACGGUUCGUCAUUUGGAAUACCUUGUUCCGUAAUUUUAGUUUCAGCUCGUGGAUCUGAAUUUCCGUAAUCUAUAUGCUGAUUGUUGCCCCUGAAAAAUACUUCUCCGUCUUGUAGAUGGGAUGUUUGGAAUUAGUGUUAAGAAUCCAUAUUUGAUUUGUUAUGCAAGUAUGGAUUUUUGAGUGAGAUUGUGAGAGUGUUAUUAAUUAAAAUUUGAUGGUGCCAGGGAGUUUGGUAUUGUAUUUUCCCUUUUCCACAACAAUACAUUUCAAUGGUAGUUGCUUUUAAAUUUCAGUAAUGUUUUAAGCAGGCUUGGAAUGCAGUUUUAUGUCUGAGCUUUCAUUGACUUUGCAAAAUCUUUCGCAGAUUGCUUGAAUUUCCAAAUUUGAGCUUUAUUUUGGAAUUCUUAUGGAACCAAACAUACAGUUUGAGAAAACAGUCUGGUAUACUGAUGAGUUGAAGAUAUCCAAUGGACCGGGGGGGGGGGGGGGGGGGGAUGUUAGUUAUGGAGCAGGUUGAUGGUUUUAGAGAGUUGACACUUGCGCUGAAACAAAAUCUUUCAUUGAGUUUGUUGAAGCUUAAUUGUAUUUUAUUAUUUUAAUCUGGACUAAAAACUCAAAUCGCCUUCCUAGAAAUGAAUGAAAAGCAAUUACGAGGUUGAAAUCAAUUCGCUUAUUGUGAUUGUCCCAAUGGUUAAGUUGUAACUAUUCUGGUUAAGAGGGCGAAUAUUGCAUGGUUUGAUGCUUUAAGGAAGAGAAAUUCAUACCCAGUCUUAGAUUCUUUAUACAAUUUGUCACUACUAUUGUAUCGUUUGUCUGCUCUGCAUCCCCUGUUUUGGUUCUAGAACAAUAAGGUUAGGGGUGUGGGGCUAAUUUACAGUCUGAAUGUAGUUUCUAGUGGAGCUAUGAUCUAUAUUUUUAUUUGAUUUCUUCGAUAUUCAAGGAAGUUAUUUCUAUCUUGUUUUUGGAGUUGCAGAAUAAAUAGGCCAAAGAAGGGUUUGAAGUGAUGACGUUUGACCUCAAGGGUUAAGAGAAACUAAUACCCGAGUAAACUGAAAAGACACAAUGUUUUCUUUAUUUUAUGGCCUGUGGAAGUACCUAUUUAGUAAGACAGAGUUUCAUGUUCUCAUACUAGGAAUUGACAAGGCGGGGAAAACAGUAAACCUCUUUACUUGACUAACUGAGCAUAGUUAUUUCAUCAGAUUUUCCAUUUAUGUUUUUAGCACCUUUCUGGACUUACUAACUUCUUUCCAUUUACUUGUAUCUCUUUCCUAUAGACUUUGCUUGAGAAGUUGAAGUCCUUAUACUCAAACUUGGAAGGGCUCUCCCCUGAUCGGAUUGUUCCAACUGUUGGACUCAAUAUUGGGCGUCUUGAGGUGUUGAAUGCAAAGCUUGUCUUCUGGGAUCUGGGAGGUCAGGUAUGGAUAUACAAUGAGCCAAUGUCUUGUUAUAUGAAAUCAUUGAAUGCAACACAUGCAUGUUUUUGUUUGAGCUGAAAUCCAUCACGUUAACCGUGCUGGUCAUAUAUUGUAGUGGUAUUUAAGUCGGCAGAUUCUUAUGGUGCUACCUUUCUUUCAUUAUGCAAAAUACAUUAUGUAAAGUCUGAAAGUUUUUGCUUGAGUUCUGCAGAAUUUGUCUCUUUCAUCUUUGUGAGGGGUUGAGGGUGGGGGUUAGAAAAGGGGAUUUCAAUAUCUUAUUUAUCUUAGUUCUUUUUUCUCUUUUGAAAUUAUUGCAGCCUGGCCUUCGUUCUAUUUGGGAAAAAUAUUAUGAAGAGGCACAUGCUGUGAUCUAUGUGAUUGAUGCUGCUUGUCCUUCAAAAUUUGAAGAUUCCAAAUCUGCACUGGGUAUGUGAUAAUAUAGGAUGGUCAUAUCUUAAUUGCAUUGGUAACAGAAGGGUUCUACGGCUACAUGAUCUGAACUUGAAUAUGAUGCAUUGAUAUUAUUUUGGAUUUCUUUCCCAGAGAAAGUUCUUCGACACGAGGAUUUGCAAGGAGCUCCACUUUUGGUUCUAGCAAACAAGCAGGUCAGAACCAGGGAUAUGCUGAACUCUUUCACAUUUUCUUUUCUGAUAACCUUUUUCCUGGUUAAGGACAAGUUCAUAUAACAUGAAACUAUGAACCCUGCUGCAAUAUGAUGAAUAAUUUGUUCAUAAAUUUGAAAUUUAUUUAUUCGGUCAUUUGAAGGAUUGAUGAAAUUAAGCUAUAUUGUUGACAAUCAUGAAUACCUAAUAUUUUCUCCACAAAAUCAAAUUUGUUGUCACAUCUUGCUUUUUUCUUACAUUUAUUUGGUCGUGGCAUCAUUUGAAUGCAUGAAUGUGUAGGAUCUUCCGGAAGCAGUAUCAGCAGAAGAACUUUCUCGCUAUCUCGAUCUUAAAAAGUUGGACGAAAGAGUCUACAUGUUUGAAGCUGUUUCUGGCUAUGAUGGGUACGUGUGUGUAGCCAGUUUGUAAAUUCAAGAACUUGACAUUUGGGUUUUUAUUAUAUGCAAACUAAUGGGUUAUGGGAUGGAGAUCCAGCGAUGGUAGACAUCUUAAUCUUUGCUUUAUGCCCGUUAUCAUCCAUUAAAUUAGCUUUCACCUACAGAUAACAUGUUAGAAAACUGAAACUCUUCAUUCUCUUCGUUACAGGAUGGGGAUAAAGGAUAGUGUCGAAUGGUUGGUAGAUAUAAUGGAAAGAAGUAAAAGAACCGAAAUAUUGAGAGCUCGAGCAGGUGGGGCUGGUCUCCGUUCUGCUUAGAUCAAAUACGAAACAAUUAUAGUUGGUCUAUAUUUCUUCCAUAAACUUGUGGACAAACCAGGUUCCAUAUUAAAUCCUACAUGCUUUAGAAAUCUAGGUUCUCCCAGGAAAUCUGUUUGCUCUCUACAUUCUUUUUAAACCGUUCAAGCUGAAACGCUUCAUAUUUGCCACUUGACUUUUGGUACUUAUUGUGAAUGUUCUUCUCGUUUACAGGUGUUAGAGGCCCCUAAUUCGAAUUACAUCUUCCUGUCCGAGAGCAUCCACUCGAUCUGGCUUCCUGUUAUCUAGCUUUACUACAAAAUGUAAAGAUAAUAUUGAUUCAAAGGCUAAUUGGUAGCUUUAGAAUUCCCACCACUGAAGUACAGAAUUACGUGUUUGAACCUGGGAAUGUUUUUCAUAGCCAUUCUUGGCUGACCCUAUUUCAUACGAGUCAUCUGAAUUUUGUCAUCCAUUUUAUAAAGUUGUUAAUUUCUAGUAAGUUGUUAAUUUCUAGUGUUACAGUAGUAACGUUGAAUUUCAAUGUAUUACAGUGUUUAUUAUCAUGAUUGGAUCAACUUAAAGAUACACUAAUCUAGAUUGAACUGCAAAUUAAAUUACCCAUACUAGGUCAGCUAACAGAAGGUAACUUAGAACUAAGUCAAAAUCAAGUCCUGUUUGUAGCAUACAGCACAUUAAGUUGCCCAUGUGGUAAGGUACAAAACUUGGGCAAAAGAGGGUUGCCUGACCACAACUAACAAAACUAGUAAAUAUAACAUGAAAAACUAGUAAAUAUAACAUGAAAAAGGGAAAGGUACACAAGAAGAAAAACUUUUUUUUUUUUCUUUUCUAUGCUGCCAACCAAAACUGUACAUUUUAUGAAGUUGGUAUUAGUGCCUUUGGAACUCGUUUCUGUUCCUUUCUUGGUGGUGCAAACCUGUUCCACAGGUUUGGAAGUUAAUCUUAGGAGAUGCACCCAGUGCUUGGAUAGCCUGCUGCUUCUGGCUAACAUUAGUCUUGCAGAAAUAAUCCAAACCAGGCUGAUCUGAGGCAUUUUCAUUAGUUUUUUCUGUUUUUGACGUGCUAAAUUGGUAAAAGUAAUCCUCAAUAUCCCGAUUGUUGUCGAGUGGGAUUUCACCGGUUAGAGUUUUAAUGGCAAAUUCUAUACAAGGGUCUGAAAAUAUUUCACCAACUGGCAACUCCAGAGUUGAUUUUAGCUUCUCAACAUUAUUUUCGACUUUCCCAACUCGAGCAACAGGAAGUUCUGGACAUGCCACUUUCUCAUUAAGCUUGUUUUCUGGUCCUGAGUUACACCUCUCAUUUGGAGUAAAGGGAGUGAAAGGAUCAACAUGGUUUGGCGUGAGUGAUGCAUCUGAGCUUAUGGAUGCAUCCAAAACGUCCCCAGUAAGUGUUUUAACUGCGAAUGCAAUGCAAGGAUCAGUCAAUAAGUCCUCCAUCGGCAGUUUAAGAAGAGGGCCUUGUUUUUUAACAUUGGCCUUAUCUUCAAUUUCCACCAUGCCUACAUGCUUUUCCAGAACGUCCUCUGGAGGCAGAGAGGAUUCAGGUUUUGGUUGCUGUUCAUAUGCAUCCGCAGAUUUCAUCUUCAUAACGAUGGACAAGUCGACACAAAUAUGUGCUUUUCCACCUGAAUCUGGACUUGUGUUAAUUUUAGAAGGGUCAGCUGUGCUGUUUGUUUUAUGCUUUACAUCGGGAUUCUCAGGACAUUGAAAUGCCACCAACUUCGUUGUGCUGGCUACUUGCUUAUCAGACUCCUCACAUGCAACUGAACGUGCUCGGCGACCUGUCUUAACUUGAAGCACUGGCUCAGCUUGGAGACCUGCAAGUCGUUUUGAAGCACGGCGUGGCAAGUUUAUGUCGUUAGUUUUCCUUUGUCUCUUUCUACUCUCACCCUUUGUUGCUCCAUUUUCGAUUGGGCACUUGUGUUGGAUAAAUUCUUUAGGUGUCAACACAAUUUCAGAAAUAUCGUUCUUUCCAUCUGAUUGCUUGAGACCUUUUGCAUCUGUUGGAGUUGAGCAAUGUGGCUUAGCACUUAUCCCUCCUGCGGUAAUUUAAAAAUUCACAUUAGAUAUAAUCUUCAAUUGGCAGAAGCACUCAACAUUUUCAUUUCAAUUUUUUCAGAAAAAUUAAGGAAAGGAAGAAAAAACCCUUUUCUAGAACAGAAACUGAAAUCUUUAGCUAGAUUGUUUAAAAAGCAUGAACCUUCCACUCUAAACAAACCUCUACUUUACACAGAGAUAAGUGAUGAAGAUAGGAAAGAAUGGGGUGUUUGUCAAAUUAAGUAUGUCACACUAAAGCUGCAUGUUCAGAACAAUACCAAGGCUUGGGUCAGGUAUUGGAAACAGCACGGUUUCUCCAACACUAGCAUUUGGAAACAUAGCUUCACCAUCCACCAUUUCACUGGGUUCUGAUGUGUUCUCACUCCAUAUAAUCUGUCUCCUUGCUUUGCCAAUAGUUAGCACCUCUUUCUUGGAGACAACAGGUGACUAAUAGAGAAGGAAAUAAGAAAUUUAGUGCUAAGGUAAGAAUAAUCAACUUAAGUUUGAAACAGUUUUCUUUUUGCACUUCCGGUUUAAAAUACUUCAGAAGCAGGAAUGUUUAGUGCAACUAGUCAAAGAAACAGAAUAAUUAAGAAGGAAAUGAUGUUAUUUACUUAUCUAUCCAUGUUUAGGGACAAGCAAGUAACCAAGUUGUUUCCAAUCUCAACUCUACAGUCUAAUUCUCGAGAGAGAAAGAAACCUUGCGCUAUUGUAAUACAACCAUACUUAGGGUCUGUUUGGGAGGCUGAAAUAUAAUGAGUUUGUAAUGGUUUGUAAUUUCAAACCUGCAUUUGGAAUGAGGGCUUUGGGCCCGGUGUGUAAUCCCUAUUACAUUUCCUUCCCACCCUUUUCAAACCAACCCCCCAACCCUAUUCUCCACUGUUAUCAUGUUUUACGAUCCUAAUUCAAUAUUGGUUUUAACAUUUCAGUGUAAUCUUGAUGACAUUUCAGUCUCUCAAAUUGUCCUUGAUUGCCAAGUAGUUACUAGAAUAUUAUUUAUGGGUUCCAUCAAUUUGAGAUCCCUGAUUGAAGUCCAAAAUUUAUGUACAUAUUUUAGAUGAGAUGAAUUCACCCAAAUUUCAGCCGUUGAUACAUAGAGAGAAUCGAUGAGGGCAUAAAUAUUGAAUUAUGUGAAUAGCAAGGACCCACAUUGGAGAGAGAGAACCGACGAGGGGCAUCACUCCAAAAUACUACACUUAUUUCAUUAAGUGAUAGUUGAACCAACUGAUGAAAACUCUUGAGACCCUAAUCAUUUUUAACUUUGAGUACCUCGAGAACACUUACAGAGAUUUCAUCAUGUUGAAACUCAAUGUUGUUGUCUCUCUGGUUCCUUGAUUUAUGUGUUAAUCGGCUCACCUUGCCACUUGUUAGAUACCGAUGUACAUCCCUUAUUGAACGAAGUGCAUUUCCAUUUACUGGAUCAAUGUAAGACUGCAAACAGAAGUUCAUUUGUUAACAUUCAUGUUGUUUAGCAUGUCACUAGCUUUAAGGCACUAAAUAUAUAAAUGAAACAGAGUGCAUGGUUAGAUAGUAUAUCCAAAUUCCAAAGGACACAACAAAUAGAAAUAGAUGAUAAAUUACUGAAUCUCUUCUUAUUCUGUUAGCAGUCUUCGUUUCUCUGAUUUCUCCGAUCCAUCCAGUAGGUAAAUCUUUUGCUAUAGUCUUCUUAACUUCCACCUAGAUUGCUUGAAUAAUAGAAGUUUUUAAAGAAAAAUCAAUAAAGUUCAUAAUCCAAAAGACCAGCGAAUUGGAACACAAAAAAUAGAGUAGAGGGUAGAUUUUUUUGACAGACAUUGUUCCCUGGUUCCUUGACGGUUCUGCUCUCUUCAGAUUCAGGAUGACAGAUAGCUGCAGUUUUGAGGUAUCUAAACACCUCUGCCCUAGAAUUAAAUCUCAUUUGACUUGAGGGUUCAAAAUAAUACUGCAACAUUAGAAUCAGUCACAAAGAUCCAACUAAUUAUUUAUCUUAAAAUGAACAGAACAUUAUUGGCCACCAUCAGUUAUCUGAUCUUUAUACAGACUUCCUUUUCGUAUUAACAUUCCACAUGAUAAUAGGAUUCAUGGUUAUCAAAUACAUAUUUGAAUACCUUUUUCUUUUUCUCUUAUCAAAAAAAAAAAAAAAAAUACAUAUUUGAAUACCAAAAGCAAAUAACCAGAAGACAUUAGGAGGAAGAAACAUGUUCUUUUGUUAAGAUGUUAAUGGAAGUUACACUAACGCAAGCUUUAGUUGCAUCUUGCAUCUUUUGAAUGAAAAAUGACAUUACAGUUUGCUGUUUCACACAAGCCUAAACAGAAAGGGCCUAACAAGAGAUAGUUCAUUCACAACGCAAAUAGAAACUUUAAACUGAUGGGAAAACUUGGCCAAAAAUUAUAUGAGGGAAUCAUAGCCAUAGGAGCUGAAGAAGGCAAGUCAUUUACUCAGAUCAGAAAGUCAUAGGAAAGUUUUAGCAAAUAGGUCCAAUAUCAGAAGCAUACACAAGACAACACACUUUCUCCCCAAAUAUUAGUCACCUAUCUCCUUUCUUUUAACUGUCUACACAGCCAAAAUUUCCCAUCAGAAGUCAUAGUUUCUAACACCUAGGUGAGCAACACUCCAAAGGCCUCGUACUAAUGAAAUCAAAAGGCCUCCUCAUAAUAACGAAGAUAUACUCAUUAUCGUCCCUUAGGCCUUAUCUAUGGGACUUCGGUUGCAUUCCCACCACUAACUAACAAGGCAAAAAGAACACAUUUUCCGUAUACACCAACAGCACACAAGUUGAGCAGGAGAGUGAAAUCAAAUCAAGAGCUAGUUGUAACAGCAACGUAGAACAUAAAACUUACAAAACAGCUAAAGAUCUACGAAAUGCAAGUAAAAAGAAAUCAAAGGGAAAGAAAACCCAUUGACAAGAAAAAUCAGUACCUUAUCCUUUUUGCCACUCUUCCUCACUUUGACUUUCACAGUCCAGCCAGGUGGUAGCAAGUCUUUUGAAUUUUGGUUCAUCAUUCACCCGGAAAACUCAGACUUUCCGUUCACCCACCGGUCAAUCUCAAUAACCCUCUCUAUUUUUCGCUCUUUCAGGCACCCAAGUUUCUGAUUUUAGAGUCAAAUCUCUUGAAGAGGACGUUAGAAAUGGAGGAUUCCGACAAAAUAUUCUUUCAAAACCACGUGUUCUGAGAAAUACCCUGCGAGUCAUAUAAACGUGUCGGAACCCCAUGGAUUAUCCUCUACAAGUCUUCCCUUAAAAAUUCUGUACAACCCAUCUUUGAGGAUCUUGGAUUGGUUCUUUGGACCCGAAAAAGGAGGUGAAUUCAAAUGUUACCAACGGUUAAGGUGGAGGAGUAUGUUAAGUAAUUGGAAGUAAAGCAGAGGAUUGAAAGCGCUAGAGGUUCCGGUAACGUCUACUGUAACGGGGGAGUAAAGAGAUGCUGUUUCAAUGUACCAAAUGUUAUUACCUUUUUUAUGGGGAAUAUCGAAGCUUAAAUUAAUCUUAACAGUUGAGGUGCGAAUUCUAAGUUGAGAAUCUGAGAUUUGAAAAAAGAGCGGGUUGUUUGGAUGUCUGCUAAGUGCUAUGUGCUAAGUAACUAUAAAAGUAAAUACUUUUUCUUUUCUUUUCUUUUCUUUCUUUCAAAAAGUCAAAGAGAAUGCAUAAUUUGUUUUUGGGCUUUCAACUUCAAACUAAUUAUACAUCUUUUUUGAGUUUGAAUUACUUCUGCUCUCUGCUCUCUGCUCUCUGCUCUCUCUUUUUUUUCCUUUUCUUUUUUAAUAUUUUAUGGUUAAUGACAAUGGCUCGUUUUCUUAAAAAACUACAAAAACUGUUCAGUGGGUUAUAAUACUUAGAAGUCUUUGGAAAUCUAGAAUGUAAUCAACAUUAGUGGAAGUCCUAGGAUCUUUGGAAUGCAUGUCAAAUUGAGAGUGAAACAAAAAUGAAGUCGUAAAAUGUGAAAAUGAUGAAAAAACAAAGUUCGAUUGAAACUUGUUGAAACAAAAUGAUAAACAGUGUAGCAAAGAAGAAACUAGAGGAUGAGCUAAUGAUAAUAAAUACUUUAGCAAAUAAACUUAUGAAAUAGUAUUUAUUACUACAUUUAGUUGUAGGUUGUAAGUACUUGUACAUGUUAUAGUCAUGUACAAAGCUAUGCUAUCUUCAUCGAUGUCAUGCAUGAUAUAGUCAUGACUGAGUUAUCAGGCACAGUAGGUUAAGUUAGUUACUAUUGUGACCGAGUUUUCAGGAUAUAGAAUUAACAUAAAUGAGCAAGCAUAUAUUUGUAGAAAUCAAAAGAUCUAUUUAAAGAUAUAAAUAGUUAUUUAAAGGUAGAAAGAAUUUACGAAAACAAAGAUUUUAAAGAUUCUAUGUUUUAUGUUAUAUCUCAUGAAUUAUUUAUGCAAAAAAGGCUAAGGUUCAAUGUUAUAAAAUUAAGCUUUGCUGGCUUGACAUAUUCAAAAUCUUGACCUUACACAUUGCAACCUUAACCAUCUAUGAACAUCCAAGUAAAGUGAAAGAUGGAAAUGUUAUUGGUUGUGUAAUAAAAUAUAGAAUUAUAUAAUAUCAACUAUAAAGAUGACGUUAUGUAAUAUGAAAAUGUUACAUUAUGACCCUAAUAACAUAGGACAUUGAUAGUAUUAAAACGUAUAGAAUUAAAACGUUUGUUUUAACAUGGAGAUUGAAAAGUUAUGCAACUCUACCUUGAAUGUGAAAAGUUUCUCAACAUCCAUCUUUAUAUAUAUAUACACACACACAUAGAGAGAAAUAUAGGGAUUUGCAAACAAAAUAAUAAAUAAUAAACACAUAAAAGCUCCUCUUUUUACGCUUUUGUUUUUGUAAAAGCAAAGACCCGCCCAAGGGAAAGCCAAGCCAAAACCUCUUCACUGAAGAAAUGGGAGUGAAGAACUUGUGGGAUAUCUUAGAAUCGUGCAAGAAAACUCUCCCACUUCACCGUCUUCAGUAAGUUCUUUUCUUUCUAUCAUUUUCUUGAAAACUAAACAGGGGGUUUCAUUUUUAUUCAUCUUUCAGUUGCCCUGUUUGAGUUUUUGCCAUUUUAAAUUUGGGGUUCAGGAAUAAGAGGUUAUGCAUCGAUCUCUCAUGUUGGAUAGUUGAGCUUUCCAGUGUAAGCAAAUCCCAUUGUCAUUCGAACAGUAAGUUUUACCUAAAGGGGCUCUUUUACCGCCUUCGAACUCUCAUUGCCUUGAAUUGCAGCCUCAUUUUCGUGACAGGCAUGCUCCUUUUCAUCAUCUUCUUUCUUUCUUUCUUUUUAUCUUCUCGUAUAAUUUGGUAAUGGGUACUUAUUUUUGUGUUUAAUGAGCACUUAUGGCCUAUAGAUGGUUCGAUUCCUGGGAUUAAACUGUCAACUUAUAGACGCCGCUUGAACAAUGGAAAUGAGGUGAGGAUUCUCAUAACCCACAUUCGUUUUUUCUUUACCCCUUUCCACUUGAGUCUUACUUACCAAAACUGCAACAAAAACAGGUUGCUCAAACUGAUGCAAAUCCUCAGCAGAUUUGCUCACUGAAAAGAAACAAGGGUUCUGAGUUCUCUUUAAUGAUAAAAGAGGCACAAGCCUUAGGACUGGCGCUUGGUAUCCCUUGUCUAGAUGCGUAAGUUCCUUUCUUCUUUAAAAAAUCUCGUGAUGUCUCUAAGUUGUUAAACAGUAAAAGAAAGUUUAUCACUGCAUUUGCUGUCAGCAAAGCAAAUUUUAAGUUUUUAUUUAGUAUUUAGCUAAAUACUACAAUUUAGAAGGGUCAUUAGAUUUUAAUCAGAACUAUAUUUAAAAGUUAAGUUUGAUGAGAAUCAAGGCUUGGUAACGGGUGUAAUUUAAUCAAGGUUUGGAUAUCUUGUGGUUUUCACUCUGUUUUCUAACUGAGCUCUUCAACCUUGUAACAUAUUCUUCUAAAUAUAGGGUAGAGGAAGCUGAGGCACAAUGUGCAUUGCUGAAUUCAGAAUUAUUAUGCGUAAGUAUAGGCUUAGACCUUGUCUAGUAAUCAUUUGGUUUUUGGAUGAUAGUUCUUGAAAACUAAGCUUAUAAACAUCUAUUCCACUUAAAUUUCUUGUUUUUUUAUCUACUUUGUAGCUUUUAGAAAAUUUAUUGUUGUUUUUGGAAUUUCAUUUUUGAAUUCAACUCUUAUACUUAAGAAAAAUGAAAACUAUUGUAUGAAAUAAGAGAAAAUAGGCUUAAUUUAAAAAAAUCAAAAACAAAAAACAAAAUGAUUACCAAACGAGAUCUUAGUAGGUAUAUUUCAGUGUGCUGGAUGAUUAUUGCUUCUGUAGUCUUGAACAUCAUUACUAUUAUUAAGUCUCAUUUCAUGAUCAGGAUGGAUGCUUUACUUCAGAUUCAGAUGCUUUCCUUUUUGGUGCUAGGACAGUAUAUAGGGAUAUCUGCCUUGGUGAGUGCCAUACUAGUGCAUACUCAUUUUCUAUCCAGUUGAUUUAGAUUUUGAAAUAAUGUACUCAUUAUGCCAUUAAUUGUUAAAUUAGGAGAUUCUGGUCAUGUGGUUUGUUAUGAAAUGGAUGACAUCGAAACACGGUUAGGAUUCGGAAGGAACUCAAUGGUAAACUUUUUUUUUUUUGUUGCUCUGCCUCUACAGUUCGAGCAAUGUAGUUUUUAGCAGGGUGGGAAGUUUCACUUAUAAGAUAAGUUUUCUUUCGUAUGACCAAAUAUUUAACCAACAUCCACGAAUCAUUUCGAAAUGGUUUGCAGAUUACGUUUGCUCUACUUCUCGGUAGUGACUACUCGCAAGGCGUUUAUGGCAUGGGACGUGUAAGUUUAAAUUUCCUUUUUGCUCGGUUGGAUUGCUGUUUAUAAGUACAACCCCUUCGCAGUGUUUAACAUUGCAGUGUUUAACUGUGUCUAUGCUGUCAUUAUACCCUUUGUAGGAAUCAGCUUGUCAGCUUGUUAAAGCAGUAGGUGAUGGUGCUGUUCUUCAAAAAAUUACAUCUGAGGGACUGGCUCUCGCGAAGAAGGGGGAAAAUUCCAAGAAGCAAGGACUUCCUAAAUCUGGUUACCCUACUACUAUGAAAUGCAUUUCUCUUUUCGAAACACUAAAAUAAGUGGGAUAGAGAAAUUUAAACCUUGUAUAGAAAUUAGAAACUGAACGGCAACCAGUUUUUGCCAAUUGAGCCAUCAAGAGAAGACUUAGGAUCUUAAACAUUGUAGACUUGAGAAUAAUCUGAUAUGAUAUAGGUCAAUCAAGUUUAAAUUUUGAUUUGGAUGAUUUUGGUUGCAUAGGGCAUGGGCAUUAUAUGCUUAAAUGUGAUGAGUUUUCAGAAGUCAUUGAUGCCUAUUUGAAACCCAAAUGCCACUCAGCGGAUUCUGAAGCUGUGACUAGGUGAGUUUGUUGAACCUUUGGAAUUACAAUAUAAAUUUUGUUUUAGUUUUUUUUUUUGGCUGUGGUGCAGCAAUAUAUCCACUUCUUCUACCUCAACUCUGCACCUAAAUUUCCUUAUAAGAUAUGUUUAUGUAUAUGUUACACCGCCAAUUAAGAAUGCUUAUAAGAGGGGUAAGAAAGGCAGUUCACCCAAGACAGGAGAGUAGCUGGCAGUGGGGUUGGAAGUGCACGGUUGCCAGGAAUGUUGUUUAUGGCCUUGGUAGCUAUUUGGUUUUUUAUUUUUAGUUUUUGAAAAAUUAAGUCUAUAAACAAUUCUUCUAAAUUUCUUUUUUUGUAAUCUAUUUUUUCACUUAAUACUCUCCUUGUUUGGUAGUUGUUUGGUUUCUGGUUUUUAAUUUUUGAAAAAUAAUGUCAAUAAACAGUUCUUUUAUCUCUAAUUUGUUUUGUUUUGUACUUUAUUUGUUUACUUGUGCUCUCAAAAAUCAAGUCAAAUUUUGAAAACUGGAAUUCAACUAAGAUUUCAAAACUGGAAUUCAACUAAGAUUUCAAAACUGGAAUUCAACUAAGAUUUCAACUCUUUUACUUAAAAGUAAUGCAUACUCUUGUAAGAAUAUGAAAGGAAAUAGGCUUAAUUUUUAGAAACAAAAAACAGAAGAUGAAAUGAUUUUGAACUAGGCCUAAUACUUUUGUUUUAGAUAGAGGUAAUAUCUUGAUAUUUGUAGCAUGGGAAUUCUUGUGAAGAGCCUAGCCCUCUCGUCAAAGCUGGUUGUUUGUUGGUUUCUUCCGGUUAUUUGAAGAACCUUUCCCAGUACAUUUUUGUUCGAAAGUGAAGUAACUCUUAGAGUAUAUUACACAUUUAUGCAGUCAUUGACUCAUUAUUAUGGUAUAUCUGGUGAUAAUUCAAUGCUUCCAUUUUCUUCCUCUACAGGGUUCUUGAUCAGCACCCUUUUCAACAUGUCAAACUUCAGCAGAUAUGUGCCGAAUUUUUUGAAUGGUCUCCUGAGAAAACAGGUUCUCUUUUCUCUCAUCUUUGCUAAGUAGAUAAAAUUAUUUGGUUUAGUUUGUGAAUACAUCCAUCAUCCACUUGUGGUUUAGAUGAGAACAUUCUCCCAAAGAUAGCAGAAAGAGAUCUACGGCGAUUUGCAAACAUUCGGUCUAGAACAUCAGAACUUGGUUUCAAUAUUCCACUUCAAGAGGUAAUAGCCAUGGAAACCUGUUGAACAGUCAUUAUACUGUAUCUGUUCGGUUACUUUUUUUUUUAACAGAUACCAGUUAGCUGUCCUAUUUCUGGAAUUGUCAAGCAUCGAAAAGUCCAGGGCAAUGAGUGUUAUGAGGUUUCUUGGAAAAAUAUUGGACUUAAUUUAUCUGUUGUCUCAGCAGAUCUCUUGCAAAGGUAUUGAAUUUCUUUAAAUGAUUCUGUUAUUUACAAGUAUACUGUUUAUUUUUGCAUCUCAGUUUCUUCCGUAACAUUGAAGUACUUCUAAGGUGAGACUAUUAUUUCUAACCUUUUCUUUUCAUAUGUUUUACAGGGCCUGUCCCGAGAUGAUUAUAGAAUUUGAAGAGAAAAGAGCCGAUGGAAAAAAGCAAAACAAGGGCAAAACUAAAACAAAGAAGUCGGCGGCUGUUAUGGCUGAAAUUGAUAAAAGACUUAAAACGCUGUUGCUCGAAAUUGAAUCCGAAAGCAGGGUAGUUCAUAAUAUCUCCCACGUUCCCAUUGAUUCAAAGACUUCUGGUACUGGUGUUCAUGAACUGAACCAAGAGGUUUUUCUCAACAUUGAACCAAUCAUUGUUGAUCAUGCUCGUAGCUGUAGCACAAAGAGGAUUGAGGUCAUCGAUCUCUUAAGCCCUUCACCUGCAAUUCAAACCCGUAAUGUUUCAAAAUUUCAACAGAAAACUAGUCAAAAGAUUGAUGUAAUUGAUUUGAGUGAUACAGAAAUUGAUCAGUCACCAGAACAUGAGAGAAAGGCAAGAGAGUUGAGAUCUUUCUUAGCUUCAUUAAAGGGUAAAUGACUUCUUCUUAAGGACAGUAACGUACCAAUGUAUAUUGCAAUAGAAGUUGCAUAUCUGUUGCAAUGAGACCAUUGCUGACAGAAGAUAUAUAAUUUGGAAUUUUGUUUACACGAAUGAAUCCAAUUCCUCUAUUCCUCAACAAGAUGGAUUUCUGUACGCAAAGGCCAUUUCAAAAAAGAAAAGAAAGAAAGAAAGCCACUAAUAAUAUAUAUUUGAAAAUCAGACUGAACUAAUGCCCUUUGUACACUCUGCAAGGGGUCUCCUCACUGCUCGCCCAAAAAAACUCAUUGAUUAUCCACUCCAAGAUGAGUGAGUUCUAUCACCUGUCAUUUCAUACAUUAAAAUAAAAGAAAUGACUAAAGCAUGACAGCAGUACAAUAGAUAAAGUAAUUAAGGUCAAAAUACUGUGUUUUACCUUCCUAACAAGUCCAUGGCCAUGCUUCUAGCUUGGUAAAUUUGAUGGCACCAUGUUCCCACAUCAGCAGAACGUACUGUAGCUUUCAAGAAUAGAAAGAAUUCCUCAUAACCAUCAAUUCUCUCGAGGAAGGACUGGAAGCUUUGCCAUUCCAAUCCCUUAACUGAUGCUUCUGCCAAAUGUUGUUCUGUGGAUUUGCGCUGUGCUCUUCUUGUUACUAUUUCUUCCAACCAGACCCCCAUUUCUGUGGCCCGUGCAAUACACGAUAAAGGUAUCUAAAAACAUAACAAAGGCAAAAAGAACUUGGGUCACAACAGGUAAACAGCAUUCACACAGGUUUUUCAAGGGAGGAUGCUUCAUAAAAUUUCAAACAGAGGGCAGGACAGCAGGAUAAAUGAAGUUACCUGUGCAAGUUGUGCUACUUUGAAACCAAAACUACUCUCCGCAACACCAGAAAUGAGCUUAUACAAGUAAGUCACAUCCUCAGUUGAUUUUGGGCCUGACAAGCUUGGACUUUUGUGUGAUGUAAGAUAUGAAACAUGGUAUACCCCCGCAGAUGCUGGGAAUUCCUUUGCAAUCUCAGCAACUUUGGGAUAGUGGGUGACAAAGAGAACCAAACAUUUCUUCUGCUGGAGUAGACUAUGCAGAGCUGCGUAUGCAAUGGCCACACCAUCGUGGGUGCUUGUACCUCUCCCAAGUUCAUC